UCAUGUUCACUGUUACCGUAAAAAAAACUUCUCUUCCUCUCCUCUCCCGAUGCUUCUCGCCUCCUCCUCCCCUCCCCCCUGCCUCCCCUUCAUCUUUCCCUCUUCCUCUCCCUCUCCCUCCCGAAGUGACGGCGCUACAGCACGCCGGCGGCCUCCUCCACCUCUGCCUCCAUCCCCCCUCUCUCUACCUCUCUCUCUCCCUACGCGGUGGCGCAGCUAGGUGGAUAGGCCGACGCGGCGCACCGGUCGGCCAGUGGCGUGGCUGGGCCGACAGCACGCGGAUCUAGGGCCUCCAUCGCUGGAUCUAUUGGUUCCUCCAUGGGCACCUCUGCCUCCAUCACCCCUCUCUCUGUCUCUCUCUCCCUAUGUGGUGGCGCAGCCAGGCGGAUAGGAUGAGGCGGCGUUGCACCGGUUGGCCAGCGCCGUGGAUGGGCCGGCGGCACGUGGAUCCAAGGCCUCCAUCGCUGGAUCUAUUGGUUCCUCCAUGGGAUCUGGCCCGAUGGCGUCCUCUCGCGGCGUCCUGCGUCGAGGGAUGCAACAUGGGUAAGUCCUGCGACACCGCAUCUCCUCGCCUUGCCACACACCACCGUGUGUCGUUGUCUCCCCUCUCCCACCUUUUCCUUCUCUCCGCGUGUGCUUGCUGCAAUGGAUACCUGUGCUUGGUGGUGCUUGGAGGUCUGCACGGCCUUUUUCUAGCACUGUGUGUCAAUGACUACAUCUCUAUGGUCAUGCGUUGCCCGCUGAUUAGUAUAGGCGUAGAGCGACAACAGCUCUGGGCUGCUGCAUCGUCGGCUGGUCUGGAGGUGUUGUUGCCCGCCGUCUACUCAAGCGUAGAGCAAUUGCAGUCAUGCCAUGCCUACACCUUGCUGCUAGAGAAAAGUAUGUGCGAUCUACCACUGCAAGAUAUCGAUGGUAGCUACAACACUGGCAGUCUACCAGUUUCUUUGCAGCAGGUCUUACUGGCUUCAAGAGCAAAGAAAAUUUUUUUGGCCGUUUGUUUAUGAUUUGUUUUAUAGAAUGCCCACAGCAGCAACACAGGUGAGAAUGCUGCGCAAUUUUUUUUCCUUGUAUCUACUCCGAUUUGCAUCUAGCAAUAUAAACAAGCUAAGAAAAAUAUAAUUAGUUUCGUCAAAGUUGUUCUUGGAAUCAUCAUCCUCCAAAUAUAUAGAAAAAAAUAUUACCCCAACUCCUUUAACUAAUCUUCAGUCUAGAGAUUUCUUAAAUGUUUGAUUGAGUGGGAAAGUAAAAUGUUCACACUCGGUUUUAGGCUAUUGAAUUAAUCAUCUUCAAUGCUGGCUUUUGUAGUUUUAUGUUUCUACAAAAUAAAUGUGCUCACAAAGCCAUGUAACAUCUGUUUAUUGCUGCUUUCAGGUUCAGUUCAUUUGUCUCCUCUUAGCUGGUUCGAUCCUUGGAUCUUUUUACUUUUUUCCUGCCGCUGAUUUUGCAUACACACUUUUAUCUCCAGAUUGAGAGUUCAUAUAGUUUUGUUUGGUGAAGGGUAUCCAUAUUUGUAGGUGAGUCAUAAUAUUUUCCUGCCUUUUCUCUCUCUUUGCUUCCAUGUAUAUUAUCUGCCAGGCCGUUUUCUGUUUACAUAUAUGUCAUUUAUUAUUAGAUUCAUGCGAUCCAGGAAACACAGUAAAGAUAUUAUCAUAGUGGUGCAGGCACAGAGGUAUCCACCAGUCUAAAACGAUAAGGAUUUAUUUAGUUGUUUAACAUAUUGUCAUAUUCAUAUAAUUUCCAACUAUUAGUAUGCAAAAGAAAUGGAAAUCCUUACUGACUUCCUUUUUCCAUGUGUAGAUUAUAAUUUAUCAGCCUAUGAUAACAAAGCAGAUGUCUGCGGUUGUUGUUGUCAGGCAGGUUGGUUCUUACGAUCCCAUGUACUCUGAAACUGUGCACAUGUAUGAAUGUUUCCUUCUCUGUUCCUUUUUGGUUCAGGUUUCUUUAUGGUUCUUCUAUUAUUGCAUUGUCACCUACCAUGCAAACUAAGUUCUGCCUGCGUGCUUGAUUAUGUAACGUAUAUGUAAUAUCUUCAAUGAUUGAUAUUUCUCCAUAAAUCUUAGUAGCGUUCUGAUGUGAUGCUCUAGAUACUCCUAUGGCUGCAAGCUACUGUACCUACUGCCUUUGUAAUGAGUGUCAGGUGCCUCUGCCUGUGAUGCUAAUUUUGUAGAUGUCAAACAUUACUGUGCUUUGAAGAUUGGCUUCUCUUUCUACAUUCCUUCACUGUUGCUCUGGUCUUCUCUAUUGCAUUCCACUGUGAUGUUAUCCUCUAUUUCUUUAGGCAUCACGCACCGCCAUCAAUUUGUUGCUUGUCGGUUGGGAAUCAAACCACAAAAGGCCUCAUACUUUUGCUUACUAUACUCAAUCUGCUUACUUAUUUUAAUUCUAAAACAAGUUGUAGUGUUGUUUACUACAUUGUACUUCUUUAGGGGCUUGGAUCAAUGGUUUGCUAUGUAAUAUAGUUAAGCUACUUCCAAACACGAUUUCUGAUACUUUUUCAGUGGGUUCUGCCAUUCUGUUUUCCUUUUAUGUUUUUAGGCAAAGCUUUUUAUUAGGAGAUGAUAGGAUUCGUAUACAUAGGUGCAUGUUCCAUUUUUAUAGCUACUCGAAAUUCAGAUUAUUAACCUCGGUAUGUAAAAACAUAUUUAUUUUUAGCUUAAAUGUUUGAUAGAAUAUAUAUGUUGUAUAUGAACAUAAAUGUAUAUGAACAUGAAACACCACUUCAAGUUUCCGUGUGCUGAUAGUCUAACAGUACAUACUUCUGAGCUGUGAUGAUUUGAUUGACCCCACCAAUUAGUGCUAAAGUUAAGUGUACUUUCCUUUUGUCAUUCAUCUUAAUGCCAGUGUACAGGUAUUUGUAUGAGCUUCUCAUGUGUUUGUAUGACCUUUGCAUAUUUUAAAUUUUGAAUAAUGUCAUCCCAGCUGCCUGAAAAUGUAGGUUACUUCUAUGCUUUUCACGUUUUCUAAACGUAGCAGCGUUGAUCCCACGGUUAAUGUGAUUAAAUCUAUUUUCUGUUUUACUGCAAUAUAUUCUUACUGUUUUACAGAUUUUUAGACUCCUAUUAUCUUUUUAGCUUCUCACUUAUUCAUAUAGUGUAGGAUUAAAUUGAUCUAACAAAUGUGGAAACAAGCGAGUGACCAUAACCCUAUAUGACACAACAGCUGUUGGUAUGUGACGAAAUGGAUUAUGAUUUGUGAAUACUAACUUCUCUUAGAUAUCAUUGCUUUCCAUUUACAUACCUGUUGGUCAUAUAUUUUUUUAAAAACCCAUCAUUACUCCUGUCCAUCACAUACCUACUGGUCAUAUAGUUUUUGUAGACUCAACAUUGAAUUGAAUUAAUCUUUCUUGUUUCCACUGGUGGGGAGGUUCAUGAUAAAUCUGAUGGCUUUUGAUUUAAUAAGUUGAUGCUCAUAGCCUGAUGGCUUUUCAUUUAUUAACCUGUUGAUAUAUUUAUAAAGUUUACUUAGGCUAUGCAUGAAACUAAGUACCCUUCCGAUGAUGAUUAAGAAGUCAGAACAACAAUUCUGGUGCUCUAAUUAGUUUUAACUAAUACUCAUUUUGUAUCUCAGAGUACAGGUCCUUUGUGCUCAUUGGACAACAAGCAUUGCAUAAUACAACAUGUUGUGAGCCUAGAAAGGUUUGAAUGUUAUCCAACAGGAUGUGUUGACGCUCAUCAUUGUGGAGUACCUACAUUAUUAUGCAUCCGCAAUUUUUUCCCCACUGCAGCCAUUUUGUUGUAGCGUGUACAUGGCUUCGCUGACUUUCUGUUCUUUGGACCUCAAUGUUUAGUGCUUUAAUUUCUGCUCCACUUUCUGUGGACUGUACUUAGACUUCAGGAAAAGGCAAUUGGUAGAGACUGCAUGUUUAUAUAUCUCUUAUUGCUUCUCUAUUUCACAUUUUAGGUUCCAUGCCUCUGGUCAGUGUAAUGCCAAAUUUAUUUUCUUUGCAAGUUCCAUGCUAUUACACAAAUUACUUCUUAAAGUCAUCUGGGGGCUUACAAUUACUCUACUCAUUGCAGUUCACUACAAUCAGUAACUUGUGGUAACAGUGACCAACCAAUGCUUUGAUUUUGUGGUGAGUAGUAUUCUGCCCAUUCUUUUGUAUAUUAGUAUCCCGGUUACUCACACUUACCCAUUGCCUUAACAAGGAUCUGUUACUUAUCAGUUGGAUUUGAUUCCUUUCAUCCUCUCGGUUCACUGCGAAUACUAAUAGCCCUUAACAAGACCUUUAACACUACAUCCAUAUUGAAAAUGAAAAUAAUAAUUGAAAGUAAUAAGCAUAUAAAAUCACCAAUGUACGUCUCUAUUGUCAUCUUCUAUAAUUUAUUGUCAUAUAUUAACUGAGAUUAGUUACCUGUUAUUCCAUUGUCAUCUUCUAUAAUUUUAUUUUCUACACAUCCACAUAUGUCUCUGUAGACCACAGGUAUUAAGAUACACAUUUUGUUGCAGGUUCCAAUUACAACUAAUCCUCUACUGGCUACCAGCGCUAACCAUAGCCAUACCACCAGACAAAACCACAAAAGGUGAUGAGGCUUCAGUUCAAGACAUGUUUGAUCCUGAAUUAACACAUAUAACACAUUCCUAUGAUGCCCUUUGCCUUUUACACUGCUACAUGUAUGUAGGUAUAAAUUUGUACAUUAUUUUAGACUGCUUUGCAGUCCAUUAUCUUACAAUCUCUACUUUCACAGUCACAAUUGUCUUGUGGCGGCGCCUUAUGUUGUCUAUGCGACUUAUAGACCUCAUAUAAAGCCAUUAAACUAAUGGAUGGUAUCUAAUAUUUGGAAUAAUAAACCUUAUAAUAUGCUAAUCUAUGGACAUCUAUGCAUCGAUUACUAAACUUAUAAAUUUUAUGGACAUCUACGCCUUAAUUACUAAACUUAUAUGUGAUUUGUAUCUUAAUAAAUUGUCUAUGAUAUGUAUUAUUAGCAUGUCAGAUUUAGCGACUGCGCGCGAGGGCGCGCGCCUUCUACUAGUUAGUAAUUAGUAACGUGCACUUCAUUUUAUUCCUGGCUGUUUCUAUUGAGUUUUGGUGCAUCCAUGCCCUGCAUUCUUAUUCAGUGAUAUGGUGAAUUUCAUGAUUUUCUGGAAACUAAUAAGAUGUGUGAGUCUUAUUUCCAGAGAAAUAUAUAUGAUCGCUCUAGAUCCACAAAACUAAUAAGAUGCGUGAGUUAGCGCUGCCAUUUCUCAUAUUUGUUAAUUUGUACUCUCUCUGUUUCAAAUUAUAAGUUAGAAAGUCAAAACAUCUUAAGUUUGACCAAAAUUUUAGAAAAAAGUUAAAAAACAUAUUACUUCAAAUAGGUAUACUAUGAAAAUAUAAUUAAUAAAGAAUCUAAUAAUAUUAGUUGAUAUCAUUAAUCUUAUUAUCUUAUCAUAUAAAUUUGAUCAAAUUUAGAACUCUUUAACUCUCCAAAAUUUUUAAAAAUAACUUAUAAUUUGAAAUGGAGUACAUGUUACAGGCUUACAACACGAUCAUAUUUAAUUUGCAUGCAUCAUGUGUGAGCCCUGUUUCCUUUCGCAAAUGUCAUUCACACUUAGAAUCUAUGUAGACGCUCAAAUCACAACUUCACAGGGCACAUCUCCUGGGCUGCUCCGCUCCCAAACUCUGUUUCUAGAUCAUCUGAAGACAGGGACGUGCCUUAUCUGAGUCCAGCAUAAACAAUUUUCAAACUGGAAAGAACAAACAGAACAUGAGGAACAAAAAAGAGCUUUUGCCAGUCAAUACCCAAAUUUCUCCCUCCCAAGAUCCAAACACAUCUCCGAACAAACAAAGACAUCUGCUCCAAGACAAAAACUUCAAUAGUCCAGCACCUCAUUGCCCCAUGGAAACAGGCUCACCGAGACAAUAAUGCCACAAAAGAUGAUAGAGAAAAACUAACUACAGAAUAACAGGUCCCACGUACCGCCAUAAACCACACCAUCUCCCACAACCAUGACAAGUAAUUCACACACACGGUCAGAAUAAUAGUAAUCUCCACCAGAUCCAUAAUAGUAGCAUAAUAAUUUAUAAUUUACAACCAAAGCAAGCGAAGAAACAGUAUCUGAUUUCCAUGAACCUCAUUACUCUUGUAGCUAUGUAAUGAGGUUCAUGGAAACCAGAUACUGUUUCUUCGCAAUAUCCCAUUCCCCAACCACCUGUAGCAUCCUUCUUUUCUACUACUGUAUAAAAUACCAUGCUUCACAAGAGUGGAUCACACCACGAGGCAAGGAGUAUAUGGAUUAAUAGAGGGAUAGCCAUCUCCUAGUGUGUGGAGAGCACACACUUCCUUGCUAUCCAUGUUAUAUGCUAUCAGCUUCCGGUUCCAGCGCUGAAAGAAGAAGACUGAAUCGCGAUCCAGAUGAAUGGCUACUGCAUAGUAGAACGAGAAAAUGGUUUCUAUGCGCAUAUCACGGCGAGAGAUGAUGAAGCCAUCAUCUGGACCAAGGAUGAAAACGGUUGAAAACAAAAUUAUAAUAUAGAAAAUGAAUGCGGUCGGUUCGGGAUAAAUUUACAUUUUAGCAAUUAAAGAGUACAAAAAAUGGUUGAAAAUAGUUGUGAAACUAACUGAAAUUGACAAAUUUUUAUGUUUGACAAAAUUCAAAAACGGUAUCGUAAUAUAGAAAAUGGUAUCAUAAUAUAGAAAAUAAAAACAGCCGGCUCGGAAUAUUUCCAUUCCGUUUUCAUUCUUGAUCUGGAUUGCUCGUUCUUCUGAACAGUUGCACGAGGCGUAUCGCAUCAUGCUGCAGAACCCAUUCGUCAGUGUCAUAGUCCUCAAGAACCCAAAUAGACAGAAGGAAUUCUUUUGUGCCAGUGUCCUUGUGCUCUGGCGCAAUGGUGUUUUUUUUUUUUGAGGAAACAGGAGGGGCAGAGGAGCCCCUACUGAAGAAUUUUAUUCAAAAAAUAGGGGAGUACAUCAAGAAUGAAGUUUAAGAAACAAAGAACGAAACAAAGAAAAUCAUAGAAAUUACACAAUUUGCUCUAGCCAUGUUUCAAUUUCCGGAAAGUAUUUCUUUUUGGCCCUCCAUAAGAGCUGACCAAAAUGGUGCUUGACGACUUCCACACAUCGAAGGCAAUCAGCUGGGAUUCCCCUAAAAAUUACAUCAUUCUUAACCUUCCAAAUGCUCCAACUCAUGAUGAUGAUUAUUUCCAUAAAGAAUCUGACAUUCAGCUGUUGUUUGAAGCUAACAAAUCUCUGAAAAGCAUCAGGAGUACUGGUCACAGUGAGCCCGAUCAAGCUCCAGUAAUUCCUAGUGAAAGCACAGUCCAAGAAUAGAUGAUCAACAAUCUCUUCAAUAUCCAGAUUACAAAGGACACAGCUAAACGAGGGAAGAUGCAUUUGCUUUCUUUUCAGAAUGUUUGGAGUACUAAGCCUAUCUUUGGUCAGGAGCCAGAAAAACACUUUGUGGUUAUGUUGACAGGAGGACUUCCAAAUCCACUUGAAAACUAGAUGAGCUUCAGAACUGCCAAUCAAAUGUUGAUAAGAUUUCUUUGAGGAGAAGGAAGCAUUAUUCCCCCAAAUGUAGGUCCAAACAUCCCUACCAUUAUUCAAGAGCUGAGCUUGCAGUAGAUCCUCAACAUGCUAAAACUGAGCAAAAGCUUCCACAGACAGAGGGAGAUUAAAGAGGUUGGAGAUAUCAUUAUUGUCCAAAGCAGUUCUGAGAGAAAUGGAUGGUUUUUUGCAAAAGAAAACAGCUCAGGGUAUUUUAGUUUUAGCGGUGGCCCAGUCCAACAAUCAUCCUAGAGCAUGCAUGAUAAGCCAUCUCCAGCAUCUACAGAAGCCAAACCUUUGUAUUUGUCCAAUAACUUCAAAAUGUUCCUCCACCAGAAGCAGUGGCGGAGGAAAGGGGGGCUGAGAGGGGCCUGGCAUCCCCCAACCUUCCCAUAACUCUCUUAAUACACCUCAUAGAUUAGAUGUUUAAUUAUCUAAUUAGCUAGUUAAUGAUAUUAUCUGUACUAAAAUUUUUAUUCUUAUUUCAUAUUAAUCUCUAAUAGUUUCUUAUAAAAAUAGAAUCUAGAUCUUUCUAAUAUUUUCUUCAUAUCUUUUAUUUUUAUUAUUGCCUAUCAAAUAUCAGUUUGUCCCCUACCACACACUCUAAUUAGCUAGUUAAUUGAAAAUCAGCGUUUUCCUUGUUUAAUCCUUCUGAAUUGAUCUCCAACAAUGGGAUCUAUAUUAUUUAGCAUUAGUCUUCCUAUUAUCUUUCUUAUCUCCUAUGCUUCUAUCAUUAUUCGUCUAAACUCUAAACGGUCAUUUAGCCCGUUGUACUCAACUUUUAAACACUAACAGUGGUAUGGUGUUUCUGUUUAACCUUCUAUUUAAAUGACCAUUUUACCUGUUUAAGUGAUCAUUUUGUCUAAAACUAAAUGAUAUGUAACUGAUUGUUUGUCAUUUGAUGUUAGGAUCUAGUAUUAAUUAAUUUUGCCCCCGUUUAACUACUUGUUUUUAUUGUGAUUCUUUUCCUAGGCAAAGAAAUAGAAUGAUCAGGUGAAGGUUAGAGGCCUGAGACUAGUUAAAUUUCUCUUUUAUUUUUUUUUAUUUUUUCUGCUUUUUUUGCAUUGCAAUGCAAACGUUUAUUUUGAUGCUAUGUACAACUUUGUCAUGUAAUAUUUUGACACACAUGAUUGUUCUUGGUUUGUACGGCCCCCCCUAUGUUCAAAUCCUGGCUCCGCCCCAAGGAUCCCUUGUUGGUAUGAUUAGGCAGCCUUCCAUUUGAGUAAUUUUUCUCCCAGAAGGCGCAGUGGUGGUUGCAGACGCACGGCGAGAUCCGGUUCCGUGAAGAAGGCUGGCGGGGAGAAGAAACAAGAAAGGGCGGUGUCUGCAUGGGAGGUGAGGGAAAUCGACAUCCAAUCGGGCUCGAAAGAAACGAACUCCACUUUCGUUUCUCUAGCUGCAGGCCCAUGGGUGUUUUAAUCACCAUGCAGCCCAGGCUCUGGAAGAGUCCAGGCAAACAAACACGAGCCAUUGCACCGCCAAGGCAUGUCUACUCUUAGAAGCACGUCUAGACAAACAAAUGUGCCCAUAGUUGUGCCUUCAGUCGAUAGCUACCACAUAUGUUCCUUCAGUCGAUAGCUACCACAUAUGUUGUAUUGUAUGAAUUCCCCUUUCCUGUGGUCAACAAAGUAGACCAAAUCCCCAUCCGAAUGAAAAGCAACCACUCCAUAGUCUUGUCUUCUGCAUUCCUUUCCUCCAGAAUAGGUCACCGCCCCAAAUGUCGUAUCUGCAUUUUUUUGCCACUCUUCAGCAUCAUAGUCCUGAAGGACAUCAAUGGACAUUAUUCUUCUGUGCCUUUGGUCUUUAUCUUGAAAUAUAAAAUUCGCACUAAUGCAAUGUAGGCGCCCUUGGGACGACUGACCAAUUAAAUCAGCUUUGGUAAACAGAUCCGAUGUAUGCUCCCUUUCCCAUCCAUAGCAACUAUGAGAACAUCCUUGUUUUUCACACGUUCGGAAUGCAGCAUGCCAUACAAAAAGGAAAGGCUCAAAGCUGUAGGUUUGAGCAUUAUCACAAUGCAAAUCUUGAAACGGAUCUUAAACUCACUUUUAGUUUUCACCAAAAUGGAGCCAAGAAUUUAUAUUAUUGCAAAGAAUGUAUACAAUACAAUCAACUACCUCCAUCUGUUACAUAGUGUCACUAUUCUUCAGAAGCAUUCAUGGAAACAUUUGCUGGAAACUAGGAAGAUUUCAACUAGGAAGAUUUCAAGGAUAAUAUGCUUCUAGAAUUUAAGCUUUAAAGUUUACUAAACAAAAGGACGUUGGCAGUUGGCAAAGUAUGGGAUAUACUUUUCGUUCCUUCUUUGGCAUAAGAACAAUUGGUUAAGUUAUUGUAAAACAACAAAAUAGAAUAAGUAGAUAAAUAUUAUAUGUUAAAAAUCAUUUCAUGCACAUGACAGAAGAAACAAAAAUCCUCAGUUCACUUACAGUUGCAAAAUAUGUUAUGAAAAACACUAGCUCAACUUAGACUAGUUGUAGUAAGGAAUAAAUGACUAUAGCUGAAUAGAAUAAUUCAUGAUCCAGCUUCAAAGCAAAUGCAAGUAAGCAGCAGCAAAAACCAAAUCACAUUUGAGCUUAAUGUGGCAGCAGUUCAAACAUUUUUGACAUGACCUCCGUGUCAUAUGCAAGAUAAAUGCAAUUUCCAGCAUAAAUAAACAUAUACAUCACCAAGGAAAACACAAAUUCAGUGAGUAAUUGCUCCCUAGUAGGGCCGAGAAAAGGGAAGCACAUAUAAAGCAAGGAGACAUGAUUCUGGAAACACAAAGAGUAGCAUUUCAAACUCACAAAGGGUAGCAUUUCAAACUCAUAACUUGAAUGUGCCGGGUAGCUCGAACUAGUUCACGACUAAAUAACUAGCAUAUGUAAUGCUAACUUGCAUGAUAUCUUGUAAACAGCUUUCUCACAGCAGUACAAAAGGGUUACAUUAAAGCACCGGCAGAAUAAAUAACUAAAUGAUAAUAGAAUUAUCCAGCUUUGCACCACCUAAUUCUAGUAGAUUUACCCACACUGCUAGCUGCCCCAUACUUGGAAAAUCAAGCUCUUGCUGAACAUUCAGAGAAGUAUCCCACAAGCAACAACCUUAGUCCUUGGUGGCAAGAACCGGUAACUCCAUGAAACAGGGAAUGUAUGGGGUAAUAUACAGAUAGUCCUCUCCUAGACUCCAGAGAGCAUGCAGUUCCUUACCAUCCAUGUAGUAUGAUACCAGUUUCUGGUUCCAGUGUUGAGCGAGGAAUAUUGAAUUGUGAUCCGGAUGAAUGGCCACAAUAUCAAAAUCAUUGAACGGGCAACUCAGUGAUCCAAAGAGCUGUGAACAACUCACAUUGUGCUUCAGAAUCCAUUCUUGUGUAUCAUAGUCCUGAAGAACCCAAACUGACAGCUCUGUGAAUUGGAACUGGAGGUCUUCAAAUUGCAGAUCCGUACUGAUGCAGUGUAGACGGCCUUGGGAUUGAUCAAUAAAAGCAGGAAUGUUAUCUCCAUGCUUAUCAUGCCAACGGAUGAUCCUACAAAUUUUCGCUUCCCCGUCCACCGCAACUAUCAGAUUCUCAUGUUUCUCAACAUGGUAGACAACAAAAUGCAACAGACCAUUGACCAAAGCCUUGCCGCACAUGAAUCCGAUUAUGAAUUCACCCCACAGUCCCCAUCCACCGCCCUCUUCACCUCGCUCCAACUUGCUUGACCUAUCACUCCAUGCCCUGGUUUGAGAUGAGUAAGAGUGCACCAUUUGUACCUCCACCUUCCCCGACGUAUUCAUCCAGAAUUGGAGCAAGUGGAAGCGUGAGGAGACAACCGGGUCAAACAUCAGAUAGGUGUGUGCAUAUCUUUCCCCAUCAUUACCAUCAUAGUUCUCUUCCAGUUGAGGUGGAAACGGACAAGAGCUGGAGCUGGCGGGCACAGUCACCAGUUCCUCAGUCGCAGGGUUGCACACGAUGUACCCAAACUUGUUAUCUUGGAUGCACCCAAAGAGCAAGAGCCCGUUGCAGGAAUCCAAGAGGGCCAUACGCUCGACCCCAGGCAGCUUUGCCGUGAGGAAGGAGAAGGAAGGGUCGACUGGAGGAGCAGAUUUUCCGCUCCCUGAUAGGCUGGUGAAGUGUCCAUAGCUGUAAGGCCCGCCAGGGCCACCGUGGAAGAAGCCUUCCAGGGUCUGGGGUAGCUUCUUGCGGUGGAGGGGGUCGGUGAUGAGGUCGCACCAGGGUUUUGACACGCACUUGGAUCGGCGGACAUCUUUGACGGGCACGCACGAGAGGAUCUCCACCAACAGGUCAUCGUAGAGGCCCGCCACCGCCGUCCCCUUUGCGUUGUCCAUGCCGCCGAGAGCGGGGAAAGGAUGCGCCACAAGCUGCGAAUUUUUCAUAGAAUCAGGUGAGGUUAGGGGAUGGAUGCGCACGAGAGAGACAAGGUCCAAGAAACGCGAUGAAUGGGGAACGUACCAGCCGCCGGAGAGUUUGUGGAGAAUCAGGUGAGAUUAGGGUUCGCGUCGAUGGCGGCGGGCUAGUCGGCGGGUGAUUUGCCCAGAUGGGGAAUUUUCUAAACCCUUGCAGCUCCGCACCUCUUGACUCUCGUGUCUCGCCUCAUAACAGGGUGAUUAUUACUUUUUUUUUACCAUAAUUACCAUGGACACCUCCUCAGAUAGCAGAUUUAGAAUUGCCACUACAUCUUCACCCACAGAAAAAGAAAACAGCUACAAAUCUACCAUAUUUACCCGCGUGGUAGGCCACGUCAGCACACCACGGUGAUGAUGAGUCAUCAUCCACAUGUGAAAAGACCAUGAUGCCCUUCUCAUCUUUUGCCUAGGCAACAUAUUAAAGGAUGGACGGCUCAGGACAACUGUUGUCUGAGAUAUGUAUAUUUGUAUUUUCAGAAUAUUUCUUUAAUUUUUCAAAGGAAAAAAGAGCAUAUACAUCAUCAUCAUCAUGACGUCAUGACUCAAGAGGCAUGUUGUGCACCUUCAUGGUUUCUGCUCCCUAGCCGCUGCCUGCUCGUACAAGUCCCGCACGGACCCAGUGCGUUAUAUGGCCAUGGUGCCGUGGGUGGGGCUGGCGGCCUCCGACCGAAAGACUCUAUCUAUGAGGAGGUACCUUUGCCAUGGACCUCGAUCCACUGUUGGACCCCUCGGCUGCCGUCUCCAUGCUCCCCUUCUACUCCUGGGUCCUCAUGCCGCAGAACGUCUGAACCUCCUCCUUGUCGCAUGCAACUACGUUCCGCUUCACCUCCACACUGUUAUUUUCUGUAAGUAUAUUAUAUUAUAUAUUCACUGUGUAGGUCUAUUUAUAUGGAGUCCAACAUAAUUAAAUUUUUUAUUUUAUAAUUUAUCUAUGAUUUACUAUAAUUUUUCAAAAAUUUAGCUGGAAUAAAAAAGACAAAAUCCAUACCACUGUAGCAAAACCAUCGUCGAAAACCGUGAGGGUUAUUUAAAUGGUUUUAGAAAGUUUAGGGGUAAAACGUCUAGUUUCAAAGUUGAGGGAAGUAGACUUUUUCCCUUCGUUAAUCGUAGUCAUUAACCAUAGCCGUUGAAUUUUAUGACCAUCUCCAUUAACAAAAAGACACCAUCUUAUAAAAUGAUUUAAGUAGCGGCGAUCGAUGAUGAGGUCGCAACAAGCCUUGGACACGCAACUGAACCGGCAGCGGGACUUGAUAGGCAGGGGCGCACGUGAGGAUCUCCUGAGGGCGUCUUCUCCUUCUCAUAAGCUGCGGUCGGUAUCGAUGGCGGCGCCGCUUGCUCCUCCGUUGCCUAUGGAUCGGAUGCUGCUGUGGAGACAAAGAACCGGUUCCUCCGCGCAUGGCCACCCAAGGCCUGGUAUAGAUGUCGCGAGAUCGCUCGAGCAUGCAUGAUUUGGCCAUUUGGGGAUAGUGGAAUUCGGAGUGACGAGCAAGUGGAAGAGCAUCUCAUCUUAAAAGGCAGGCAUUAAGCUCUCAAUAUUGAGCCUGUUCGCUCGAACUUAUCUGCCGAAUUUAUCAACUAUUCAACAAUAUUUUUUUUCUGACUUUUUAACCAUGCGAACAGUAUAUGAUGAGGUUCUGGCUACGGCUAGCAUCCGAUCGAAUUCUGAGUCAUUGGUUUUCACUUUUUAAACAGUUAGCCAAAGUCAAAAAGGUUACUGGGCGAAUCCUCAUUCCUCGGUCCUGAAAUAUAAGACUAAAAGUUGCACGUAUUUAAACAUUCAAACUUAAUUAUUUUUAUUAACAAUUAGUCUAAUAACAUGAACAGUUUAUAAGAAAAAAAUGGUUACAUUAAAUUUGUAUUUAGACAUUUUCGAAUAACCAAACUUUUGUUGCAAAAAAAAUAUUAUAUUAGAAAUUAGUAGUUGAAUUGUGACCUUAAAGACUAACGUCUAGUGAAAUGAAAUCAAGAUUACUCAUUGGAGCCAGUAGAGGCUCUAGUGAAAUCAUGCCUUUUAGUAUUUUGGAAGCGAGAGCUGCUGGAGGCAUGCAUCUGGUGGCUAAUACAAAUCCGUACUCUCAAUACUUUCAUGUGUCAUUCGGUUUUUCUUUUGUUAGUUCCUUAAUCCUGAGUCACUUGCCAGAUUGAUGCAAUAAAUAGAAAAAAAAUGAUUCUUGACAGCUCACCACUUGUAAUAUAAUACUAUCAAUAUUGUAGCACGUAGAGUACUGAUUAGAGCAAGUAUUAUAGUGGGCUGUAAGCUGGCUAAAUGCUGAGGUGGAGGAGGGAAGAGAGGAGAGAGAGAAGCAUGCUGUAACCUUACAGCCAGCUUAGGCACAGGAACCAAAAAACUCUGUGAGAGAGACAAGUGGGCCAUAUAUUAAUAGUGAAUAGCUCAUUGUUGUAUGAGUGGGCUGUAAAAAGGCUACAAGAAACCUUACAGCCAGCAAGUAGGCUGUAUUAUUAAACUUGCUCUUAGCGUCCACAAGAAAGCUCUGCUGUCUCCAAGUCCUAGGACAUGGUGCCACUUAUUCUUCAGCACCAUAAUAGUACAUAAAAAUUUUUGGCAGAGCUUUCGGUUUCAAAUUCUCAUACAAAUCGUUGCUUCCAACAUGCUUAUACAAUUUUUGUUUAUUAACAUGCGAAUGAUUGGCUAAAACUAUUGUUGUAAAUUGUCAAUGCAAGGCACUAAAAUAAACAUUUGAUGCUAAUAUGCCAUACAUUUGUUAGGAUAGAGGAAAAAACACGCCCCCAUUCCCUUACAUUUGCAUACCACAACUUCAUAACUUAUUACAAAAGAACUAGCUAGGUCAACUAUGAUAACAAUAACAAAGAUUUGACAGUAACUUAUCUUACGCAGGGCGACCAAAACAGAUGAAAACAAUCAGCAAUCUCUUAUUACCUGCUUCAGCUCAAAUUUCAGUUUACACAUUUCCAAUACACCAAGUGUUUGCAGCAUAGGGAAAAGUGAUAGAGUUAUUCCUUCAGCUUAAAAAAGCAUAUACUUAUCUCCAGUCAAGACGUUCAGACUUCAGACAUGAAAAUGAUUCAGAAAACAGACUAGCAUGUCUGAAACAUCAUACGUUUUUUUUACUAUAGGGAGUGCUAACAGAUAGAAUGAAAAAUAACACUUGGUAUUAGUAAUCACUCAUCAAUUGUAAGGUCAAGGAAAAAGACAGCAAGUAUCUAUACUCCUUAUAAUCUUAGUGACACAAAAGGUAAGCAUUCGAAAUAUAUAACUUGAAGUCUUCAGAGAAAAUCAUCAAAUGGUAGUCCGUAGUCAACAUUCAUUAAGAUAACUAGCAUAUGUAAAAAGACACCUUGCAUGCAUAUAGAACAAAGACAAAUAUAAACAUUGUGUGCCAUUUUUUUUAUGCUUCACAUGCACAGAGAAAAAAAUCCACUUUAAAUCUGCAGGCUAAACUAUUAUAAAGUACUAGCACAACUAUUGACACUGUUAUAACAACGAUUUGAAAAUAGCUCAAUAUAAUGCAUUUGUCUUAUGCAGGGCAGCUAAAAUAGACAAGCAACCAACAUGGGCACACAAGAUCUUCUAUUUCCCUCUGUCCAAACUACAGAAUCUGUUAUUAUCAGCUUCUGCUAUUGGAUAUAUGGUCUCCAAACUAGUCAAAUCAAGUAAUCAACAUCAACUAGGCAGCUUUUGAUCUUAACAUGAUACAAAAUAAAAGAUCAGCCUAAACAUUUGUAAUACACACAUUGUUUGAAACACGUGGAAGAUUUAAUCCCUCAGCUUAAAUUUGACUGAAACGAAAAUUAACAUCUAGCAAUAAAUCAUUACUUGCAUGGUCAAGCAAAAAAAAAAAAAGCCCCAAGUAUUUAUGCUGCUUAUAAUCCUAGAAACAUAAAAGGCAGCAUUUGAAAUAUGUAAUUUUAAGUCAAAAGAAAAUCAUCACAAGCUGGUCAACUGCAUUCAUUAAAUAUGACAGGCACAUGAAAAGCCACCUUACAUAAUCUCCCAAUUGCAUGUGGUAACUAGUCCAAAAGCAUGAGACUGAAAACAACCAUGCACCAAAGAAAUUCAUUGCCUGAUUCUAGUAAAUCUAAUAAAGUUGAUAGAUGCUUGAUACUUCCAAUAUCACAUAUUCUUGGUUAACAUCCUGACAAGAACCCCAUAAGCAACAUCUUCAAUGCUUGUUUGCAAGCACCGAUGACUCUGAAAAAUAUGGCACGUAUGGUGUAAGAAAGCAGUAGGCAUGCCCAAAGUUGUGGAGUGCAUGCACUUCCUUAUUACGCAUGUCAUAAGAUAGCAGUUUCCAUUGCCGGUCCCCCUUCCCGUUACGGUGCCGAAUAAAGAAAACCCGAUCACAAUCUGGAUGAAUACUGACCACAGUGAACCUGGACGGGUCACACAUUUUUCCAAGCAACUCUGAAAACCUGACACUGUGUUUUAGGACCCAAUGUCCUGCAUUAUAGUCAAGAACCCUCAUGGAUAGUCCACUUUCAGUCCUUGGGUAAGCAUUACGUCUGCUCAUGCAAUGCAAGCGCCCUUGGGACUGAGCAACAAAAAGGGUAAAAGAAAAAUCCCCAUCUGGCAAUGGGAUGAUCCUUGGUUUACCUUGCCUACCCAUGGCAGCUAUCUGACUAACACCUUUCCACAUGUCCUUGAUGAUAAAAUACAGCAUACCAUUGGCAAAGGCUAUGCGGCCUGAACUGGCUGUUGCCAUUCCAACAUUGACCAAUCCAUCACUCACGCGGUCACUCCAUCCCCUGGUCUCAGAAGAGUAGGCACGCACCUCAACUCCAACACUCGGCCAAUAUUUCUGCCAGAUACGCAACAAGUAGAAGUGCGUCGACGCGGCCGGAUCAAAAAGCAAGUAAAUUUCACCGCCAACAUGAGAGGUGACGCCGGAGCUGGGCACGGCCACCCAUUGCUCGGUGGCGGGGUUGCACACGGCGUAGGACGGUGUGCUGGCCGAACCCGAGCGGUGCUCGAAGAGGACGAGACCAUUGCAGGAACCCAAGAGCUUUAUGUUACUCAUCUCGGGCUGCUUCGUCAGGAAGGAGAAGGAAAGGUCGACGAGAGGCGCCGGUCUCCCCGGCAGGCUGAUGAAGCGCCCGUAGGAUCUGGCUCCGUCGCUGCAGAAGAAGCCUUGUAGGGUCUGGGGGAGCCGUUUCUGGUUGAGGGGAUCGGCGAUUAGAUCGCGCCAGCGCUUCGAGACGCACUUGAAUCGGUGCAUGGACCUCGCGGGCACGCGACAGAGGAUCUCCAGAAUGAGUUCGUCUGGGAGCCUGGCCGCCGCGGCACCCCUAUUGGCGUCGGGGCGAUCCUCCAUGCCGCGGACUGCGAAACGGAGGAGAUGGGAGGUGAGGGGGAUAAGAUGAGCGAGCGCACACGGCAGCGAAAUAGAUGUACAGCGACUCAGCGAGGGUAGGUGCGUGCGGGAUGCGGCGGGGAGGAGGAGCGUACCAGGGGAGCCGCCGGAGACUUUCGAGAUCGCCAAGAGCACGGCGCCGCCGGUGAGUCGGUGUAUGACGGAGACGAGGGCCGUUUUAUUUGCAGACUCGAUCAUAGAUGUGAGGCCCAGGCCCAGGCCCAGCAUAAUUCUGGAAGGCCCGAAGGUUAUUACGAGCCCAAAAGGCUGGGCCCGACCUUCACUCAGGACUCAGCCCACACGAAGAAUUUGUCCCGAGGACUUUUUGCAGGCCAGAUUUUGAAGGCAUCGGUUUUCACUUUUUUUUUUUGGCUUCAUCCUCUUUACGUACUUCCUCGUACAUCAAAGAAAAUAGAAUAACAACACUCUCCAAAAUCUAACUUUGACGCCAAGUAUGGCUACAGCGAUGUUAAUUAAAUCAGUAAAUCUCUUUAGCCAAACCUGGCAACCGGUACGUAGAGUAUUUACAUAUGUUGUUCACCUUGACAAGUAUUUUUUUUAAGUUUAUUUGUAAACAAAUAUGUUGACAUUUGGAAAACCAAAUAAAUAUAUUAUCAAAUAUCAACGCAUAUUUCAAGUUUGAUCUAAUGAAACUUAGUCAAUAUCAACACAUAUUUCACAGAAUCAGAUCGAGUCGGCGUUAGUCUUUCCCCAAACCUCCGCACCUCAUCGUGCGAAGGUUCAGGGCACGAAGGUCAGGCCCCCGUGUCAGAGCCUGGUGACCCUCGCAUCCGGAGCAGCUAGGGAGCAUGGGUGAAUCCCCAAUAGUUCCCCUGUUUUGAGCGUGUGACCUAUCCUGCGGGCCGCGUGCUCAAAAAACUUGCCCCCCUCUAUAUAGGGGAGCCCACGACGCUUUGUUGCCUAAGACUGUGAAACGUAGGUGCGCAAGGAUCAACCUGGUGCGAAGGACCACUGAGGCCGCGCACGAGUCCUUCGACCUCGAGACGACGAAGGACUUCGAGAGGCCGGCUCUGAUCCUUCGACAUUUGACCGGCGGAGGUUUUGGAACCGUUGGCGAAGGAGCGGCGAAGGCCCGGGCUAUGUUAAGGCUUGAGUAUCGAUGUGAUAGCCUGUAAUGUAUCCUCGAGAAGGAAUUACUCAUGUAACCUUGUAGGUCAAUGCCCGGGAGGCAGAAUAUGCCAGAAUAUUCACCGUCACGGGGUGUUUUAGUGGGAAAUCUCGGCCGGGUGCCGAGCCUUGUAUAAAGGGAUUGUAAAUGCUUCCCUAGGGAGUUAGUUGAAAGCAAUUUAUUGAAGCCUUAUUGUCCUAGGGUUUGUUGCCCUGUCUUUUCCACUUGGCGGUCGGGCCCCUGCAGCAUCGGGCAGGAGGACCCGAUCUAUUCACAGUUGGCGAGGGUUGAACAAUCCAACACUGGCACCCACCAUGGGGCUCGAAAAGGAGAAAGCCCACGAUGGUCGAAAAGAGAAGCAACCCCACAAGAAUGCCAGCAGGUACUGCUAGGAGGGGAAGACCGAGGCGCACUGCCUGAAGUAUGUAUGCUUCAACGGAGAACGAGGAGGUCGAAGAUGAGCAACCUACGCAAGAUCAACCUCCUCUUGCGGAGGAACAACCAGAACCCACAGCUGUUCAGGAGCUCCAGCAACUCCAAGCCCAACUACUGAGCCUACAACAAGAAAGGGAUAGGGUUGCAGCAGCCUUCGCAGCCAGCCAGCAGGAGGCCCUCACCACAACGCAAGCAGAAGUGAUUAGGCAACAACUCUCUAUUUUGCAAGCAAAAAUCCAGAGCAUGCAACCUACGCCACAAUGCGACAGCACCGUAGCCCUCAGGAAUGUGCACCCUGCAAGUUAUAGCGACGCUAAUCGAGGAACCAUAGACCUGAAGUCCCCAUUGUCAGAUGGCCUGCAAGCGUCACUGUGGCUAGCAUCUUACAAACCAAUUGUUGAAAGGUCCAAAUGGCUAGAGGGGAGUGAAUAGCCUAUUUAAAACUAUACAAACUUCACUAAACAAGUGUGUUAGUAAAAUAACUGGUGAAGCUAUUCUAGCACUAGCACAACUAAGCUAUGCAAGCCACCAAACAAGUCUAGCAAGAAAGCUAAACACUAAGUCAUAACACAAAAGCACAACUAGAGGCUAGCUACACUCCCAAACAAGUAGACUAUGCUAAAUAAGCUAAAAAAACUAGCACGAUAUGCAAGUAAGUAAAGGAGUGGGGAGUAAUUGUUAUACCAAGGUUGUAGAGUAGAAAUAUAACCAACCAAUCACUCACAAUCACAAGAAAGAAUCCUCGGCAAGAGAUGACACAAGAUUUUUUACCGAGGUUCACUUACUUCCCGGCAAGCUAGUCCUUGUGGCGAUACACCCACUUGAUGGAUCACGAGCUAAUUGGCAAUUCAAAGCCAAACCCUCAGUGGGUGCCGCACAUCCACUCCAAGGGGAUCCUCCAAACCAUGAGCAAUCCACUAGAGUAGCCAAUUGUGAUCUCCCACGGGGAAGGCACAAGAACCCCUCACAAAUCACUUGGUGAGGCUCGAAACAAUCUCCAAUCAUGAGCUCAACACCUCCGCUGCUCCAAGCCAUCUAGGGCAUCGGGAAACACCCAAGAGUAACAAGAAAACCUCAGUAAACUCAAGGAUCAAGUGCCACUAGAUGCAACUCACUAAGCCCCACUAGAUGCAUCUCACUCAAUCUCACUAGAUUAGCAAUCAAACAAGGAGAUGAGUGGAGGGAGUGUUCUCUAGCUCAAAGUAUGUCUCAAAUGUUCCAAAGUGCAAGAGAGAACCCCCCAAGGUCGGCUACCUUCUAUUUAUAAGCUCCCUCAACAAAUAGAGUCAUUGGCUCUUUCACUGGGCAAAAGUCGAGGCCACCGGACUCGCUACAGGUGAGCCACCGGAUACUCAAACCCUACGUCUGAUGCUUAGAAGACACCCACGUGUCCCCUAUUUGAAACUCGUGCGUCGAUCUCUAACGAUCACAUUCAAACCACCAGACGCGGUUAAGUACCCAUCGGACGCGUCUGGUACACACCGGACCCAUACGCAGAGAGGGUGUAAAACGCGUGGGGUCACCAGACACGCACCACCGGACGCUCUCUGGCGUUCGAUGCUCUUUGUCAAAAAUAUUCGCGUUCUUACUUGCUGACAUCACACUCCACCGGACACGCAAACAGUGUCUGUCAUGCGUCCGAUGCUUAGACAACACCAGUGCAAGAAGCUGGUGAGAAACACUCCCACGACUUCCCCAAACUUUCCACUAACACAAUAGAAAAUAUGUGUUUCAUUCUCUCAAAAGCGUCAAAUCCCGCCUCACAAACUCGGCAGGAGGGAGAGAGGAACCCAAACCCCUCUCUACCCUAGGAACUCCACCUCCUUUGCAAAUGUGCUAACAACACCAAGUGACCACCAUCAUUGUGCAUGUGUGUUAGUAUUUCACAAACAUUUUCUCAAAGGAGUUAGGUUAGCACUUUACUAGAUCCUAAUGCAUAUGCUCAAGAUAUGGACCUAGUAGCACUUGAUUCGAGAGAUGACCGUGAUUUCCCUUCUUGAUAGUCAGCUAUCUAUCCUAAAACCGGUCAAUCACUUCUAUACUCAUCUUAGACUGGCAAAAGCAAAACCCUAUGUUUAUACCUUUGUCUUGAUCACUUAACUCCUUGUCUAUCACCAUGAUCUCCACUUCAUGCUUAGUCUCUUUGUAAUCAUGUGGCCACCUUUCCAUGCCACCUUGCACCUUCAUCACAUGUGUUGUUAUGCCUAACUCAAAUCACUUAAAUAUAAGGCAUUAGCAACUUGAUGUCAUUAAUUACCAAACCCAAACUUGGGCUUUCAGUUGUGACCCCCCAAGUUCCCCAAGUUCAAUAGCAAGAUAGACUCACGCUAAUUUUUGAUGAGUUUCAAAGCGGCAGUGGCUUCAGCAGGGGGGGCAUGGGUGAAUCCCCAACAGAUACCCUCAUCGUGUUUAGAGCGGACUCAACUGGAGCAUAAAGCCUAAAAGUGAUUCUUGAUCUAUUCAGGGACCUAUCAGGCAUGCACAUCAAUUAUAGCAAGAGCACCCUGGUCCUGAUUCAUGUGGCUGAGGACAUGGUUACUGAAUGUGUUGACGCUAUGUGGUGUAGGAGAGACAAUUUCCCACAACCAUAUCUGGGCCUUCCAUUGUCAGUCAACAAGCUACCUCUUUCUGCUUUCACACCCUUUAUUCAAAAGACAGACCGGUAUCUCAGCUCAUGGCAGGCCAACCUCCUCAAUCCAAUGGGAAGGGCAGUCCUGGUUAACUCAGUAUUUGACUCGCUCUUGGUUUACUGCAUGAGCUCCUUGUAGCUUCCACCUAUGGUGAUUCAUCAGCUUGACAGAAGAAGAAGAAGAAGAAGAAGAAGAAGAAGAAGAAGAAGAAGAAGAAGAAGAAGAAGAAGAAGAAGAAGAAGAAGAAGAAGAAGAAGAAGAAGAAGAAGAAGAAGAAGAAGAAGAAGAAGAGGGGCUUUUAUGUGGUCAUGUGAAAAGACGGGCACUGCUUCACCGGUAAGCUGCCUAGUGGCUUGGAUCAAUGUUUGCCACUCAGAGAGCUUGGUGGUCUAGGUAUAUGGGACAUGGGCACUCAGAACAUUUGUUUGCUACUCAAACUUCUACACAAGCUGCACUGCCCGAUACACUCGGCUUGGGCACAAUGAUUGCAUACACGGUCUUCUGUUGCUACACUCUCUGGGGAUCUUCAUGGAGACCACUUGCAGGUUCUUCGAACUCUGUUGCCACUGUAUCAGGCCAUCACCACGGUUAGCCUCGGUGAUGGGAAGGCGCGGUCCUUCUGGUCAGAUGUCUGGUGUGCCGAUGAGGCACUGGCUGACGUCUACCCGGCUUUGUUCAGUCACUGCACCAAGAAGAAUGCCAAUGUAAACGAAAUGAUGGAUUUGGAUCUGAGAUGCUGUCAGUCCAGCUUGCAAUCGAUAACACCGUGCUCACGCAGACACCGGACAAGCGAUUGUCCUUAUUCAGCAAGGGGGACGCUGGCCUCGACAGCUGCGCCUGUACCGACUACUCGAAUUUCGGGCCCAACAAAAUGAUAAACAUGCUACUUUUGUUUGGAAAAAUUUUGCGCUGCCGAGAGUGCAGCUCUUCAUGGGGUUGCUACUCCAAAAAAGGAUCCAAUGCCACAUGGUUCUCACGAAGGGUGUGGUUGACGACAGCAUCUGUGAGAUUUGCCAUCAAGCAGAGGAAUUGCCAGAACACAUCAUUCGGGGAUGCAGACUAGGGCAUGGCCUUUGGCAGCGACUGAACUUACCUUCCAUGCUAUCAGCUAAUAUGGGGGUGCCACAUGAGGAAUUCUCGGCCUUCAUUGCCUUGGUGUGUUGGCAAAUCUGGAAGGCACGAAAUGCUAAAGUCUUUAGGAACGACUCACUAUCGCUUGAUCAGGUGCUUGCAUCAUGCAAGGGUGUAGCAGAGCAAUGGUGUUACAGGCUUUCAAGUCGGAAGAAGUCCAUUGCUGAUUCCUGGUGCCAAAUUUUCGAGUUGGCAAGGCAGGGCCAGGGCUAGACACCUCCUCUCUCACCUGUAUUGCAUCUGUAGUUCUUUUCUCUUACCCUGAUCACCCUCUUCGUGAUCAUGUAAGGUAAGUGCCACUGCAGUAGUCUCUUGGCAACUUUUUUGAGGGCCUGUAAGGCCAAUAAAUUUGAUCAGGUGGGGAACGCCUCCCCCUGUUGACCGUAAAAAAAACUUUAACUGAAAACUAGCUAUACCAUGUAACAACUAGGGAGAUUUCAAGGAUAACGCUUCUAGUUCUUUAAGCUUUAAAGUUUACAGGCAUCUCUAAGAGUUACCAUGUAUUCCUUUCUCAUCCAUGUUUUUUAGGAAAAAGGAGAAAAAAACCCAUAUCCAAGAGUUUCUCGUAUCUCUUCCCUAUCUUUCCGCACUUGGCAAACCACGGUCACCUGUGUGCAAAUAUACGCAUGGCCUAGGAGCGCGCAUUCGGAGAAGUAGAAGGAGCUAAGAAAGGAAAAAGGAGGAAAGACAAGGUUCCCAGUGAGAAAAGCGCAAGAGAAAGAUCUAGUGAAAGGGCUAGUGCCAAGAAAAAAACUUUUAGGAUAAAAAUAUAGGAAACUCUUGUAGAUGACCUUUUUUCUGUGCAUACUAAUUUAUGAGUUGACGAAGAAUAAAAUAUGAGAAACACUUGGAAAUGCUCUAAGUAAAGAUUCACGUUGCAUUUGGCAAAAUAUGUCAUAUAAUUUUUUUUCUUCUUUAGCAUUAGAACAAUUGGUUAAGUUAUUGUAAAACUAUAAAAAGAAUAAGUAGAGAAAUAUUAUAUGUUAAAAAACAUUUCUUCACAUGCACAGGACAGAAGAAACAAAAAUCCUCAGUUCACUUACAGUUGUAGAAUAUGCAGCAUGAUGAGACAGCCGUGGACGCACUCUCAACGAUGAGCAAGAAAUUAGAAGUAAUUGCUCUAGAGUUAUCCAAUAAAGGUUGGAAACAUAUUUAUUGUUUGAACUAGCGUCCUGGUCGAUCUAUAAGACUAAGACUUCUUUUUUAUUUUUCCAAACUCUGAAAUAAUUGGCUGUGUACAUCUCUGGAUGUAGAGACCGGAUUCUUUUAUCCAUUAUCUAAAAAAGUUGUAGAAUAUGUUAUGAAAAACACUAGCUCAACUUAGACUGGUUGUAAUAAGGAAUAAUUUACUCUAGCUGAAUAGAAUAAUUCAUGAUCCAGCUUCUACUCGACAGCCAAAGCAAAUGCAAGUAACCAACAGCAACAACCAAUCACAUUUGAGCUUAAUGUGGCAGAGCUCUCAGUUCAAACAUUUCUGGGACAUGACCUCCGUGUCAUAUGCAAGAUAAAUGCAAUUUCCAGCAUAAAUAAAUAUAUACAUCACCAAGGAAAGUAAGGCUGAGAAAAAGGAAGCACAUAUAAAGCAUGGAGGCAUCAUCCUGGAAGCACAAAGAGAAGCAUUUCAAACUCACAAAGGGUAGCAUUUCAAACUCAUAACUUGAAUGUGUCAGGUAGCUCGAACUAGUUCAUGACUAAAUAACUAGCAUAUGUAAUGCUAACCUGCAUGACAUCUUGUAAACAGCUUUCUCACAACAUUACAAAAGGGUUACAUUAAAGCACCGGUAAAAUAGAUAACCAAAUGAUAAUAGAUUUAUCUAGCUUUGCAUCACCAAAUUCUAGUAGAUUUACCCACACUGCUAGCUGCCCCAUACUUGGAAAAUCAAGUUCUUGCUGAACAUUCAGAGAAGUAUCCCACAAGCAACAACCUAGUCCUUGGUGGCAAGAACCGGUAACUCUAUGUAACGGGGAAUGUAUGGGGUAAUAUAUAGAUAGUCCUCUCCUAGACUCCGGAGAACAUGCAGUUCCUUACUAUCCAUGUAAUAUGAUACCAGUUUCUGGUUCCAGUGCUGAACAAGGAAUAUUGAAUUGUGAUCUGGAUGAAUGGCCACGAUAUCAAAAUCAUUGAACGGGCAACUCAGUGAUCCAAAGAACUGUGAACAACUCACAUUGUGCUUCAGAAUCCAUUCUUGUGUAUCAUAGUCCUCAAGAAACCAAACUGACAGCUCUGUGAAUUGGAACUGGAGGUCUUUAAAUUGCAGAUCCGUACUAAUGCAGUGCAGAUGGCCUUGGGAUUGAUCAAUAAAAGCAGGAAUGUUAACUCCAUGCUUAUCAUGCCAACGGAUGACCCUGCAAAUUUUUGCUUCCCCGUCCACCGCAACUAUCAGAUUCUCCUUUUUCUCAACAUGGUAGACAAUAAAAUGCAACAAACCAUUGACCAAAGCCUUGCCGCACAUGAAUCCGAUUAUGACUUCACCCCACAGUCCCCAUCCACCGCCCUCUUUACCUCGCUCCAACUUGCUUGACCUAUUACUCCAUGCCCUAGUUUCAGAUGAGUAAGAGUGCACCAUUUCUAUCUCCACCUUCCCCUUCAGAUUUAUCCAGAAUUGGACCAAGUGGAAGCGUGAGGAGACAACAGGGUCAAACAUCAGAUAGGUGUGUGCAUAUCUUUCCCCAUCAUCACCAUCAUAGUUCUCUUUCAGUUGAGGUGGAGACGGACAAGAGCUAGAGCUGGCGGGCACAGUCACCAAUUCCUCAGUCGCAGGGUUGCACACAAUGUACCCAAACUUGUUAUCUUGGAUGCACCCAAAGAGCAAGAUCCCGUUGCAGGAAUCCAAGAGGGCGAUACGCUCGACCCCAGGUUGCUUCGCCAUGAGGAAGGAGAAGGAAGGGUCGACUGGAGGAGCAUCUUCUUCACUCCCUGGUAGGCUGGUGAAGUGCCCAUAGCUGUAAGGCCCGUCAGCACCACCGUGGAAGAAGCCUUCGAGGGUCUAGGGCAGCUUCUUGCGGUGGAGGGGGUCGGCAAUGAGGUCGCGCCAGGGUUUCGACACACACUUGGAUCGGCGGACAUCCUUGACGGGCACACAUGAGAGGAUCUCCACCAUUAGGUCAUCAUAGAGGCCCGCCACCGCCGUCCCCUUUGCGCAGUCCAUGUCGCCGGGAACGAGGAAGGGAUGCACCACAAGCUGCAAUUUUUGCGGAGAAUCAAGUGAGGUUAGGGGAUGGAUGCGCACAAGAGAGGCGCAGACCAAGAAAUGCGACGGAUGGGGAAUGUACCGGCUGCCGGAGAGGGUCCGCGUCGACGGCGGCGUGCUAGUCAGGGGGGGUUCGGGGAAUUGCCCAGAUGGGGAAUUUUCUAAACCCUUGCAGCUUUGCACCUCCUGACUCUCGUGUCUCGCCUCAUUACAUGGUGAUUAUUAACUUUUUACCAUUAUUACCAUCGGUACCUCCUCAGAUAGAAACUUUAGAAUUGCCACUACAUCUUCACUGGUAGAAAGAGAAAACAACUACAAAUUUACUAUAUUUGCUCGCGUGGCAGGAGGAGACCCAGAGAGACAACUGACAAGUGGGGUCUGGUUGUCUGUGAGUAGAAAGACAUCAGGGGUAGGGGGGCGUCAUUUUGGAUGGGGCUGGUGACUUGGAUCCGUGCUAGAGUGAGGUGUUGGCAUGCCACGUAAGCAGAAGUGGCAUUUUUGUAUCGAAUUUCUCUUCCUGCUACUAAUAUGUAGUGCCAGUCCUAAGAAUGCUAUGUCAGGGGUUGACAUCCAUAAUAAUGGUAAAAAGUUAAUAAAUAUCCCUAGGACAGGAGUCCAUAAUUGGGGGACCAAGGACUGAGGAGUUGCGGUACUUGGCCACUUGGGACUUGGGAAGGAGAAGUCUAGGUGCAUUUUUCUAAUAGCCCAAGGAUCAAGGUGUGUUUUGUAAAUGUGCCAGCAUUAUAAAUUGUCAAAUUAAAAUUAAUCGUGGGAUCCUACUCCCUCAGUCCUGAAAUAGAGUACAUUGUUUUGAUUUGGCAAGAUUUGUUAAAAAGAAAGCCAUAAUUUAAGAAGAAACUCUAUAAUUAGAAUAAUCUAUAAGUACAUGUGUCAUUUGAUUGUUCUCUUAAGUUGUCUUAAAAUUUAUAGAACAUACUACAUUACAGGACAGAUGAAGUAUCUAAGUUUAUCAGUUAAAUAGAACUAUAUAUAGCAGGUGCGGGCAUGCGAUAUUUCCUUACUAGAUUUCAGAAAAGAAAAAGAAAACGAACAAACAAUCAUGUUUGCUCUUCUUUGUAAAUGCAGUUAUAAACUGAAAGGUUAUGGCACAUCAACCCCCCGGAACAUGGUACAACGUAUAUAAAUCUCCUUGAAGGUACUGAUCACUCUCUCCCUAUUGGUCGUCCAAGAAAAUUAAGAUCUAAUUCUAGAUUUGGUCCGAGUUAAACUAUCUUUCAGUUUGACUAAGUUUAUUACAAGAAAUAAUAUCAUCAUGCGUAAUUAGGUAUAAUGAAAAAAAUAUAUUUGUUUGACCAAUGUAAUAAUAUUUAUUAAUUAGUAUAUUAAACAUUACUACUUUUUACAUAAAUUUGGUUAAACUUUAGAUUGUUAGAUUUAGUAUCAUUAUAAAAUUGCAUCCUUUUUAUUGAAAUGGAGAGAGUAGAUCCAAACUUACAUGAUUUGGUUGUCACCGGAAUCAGAUUGUCUAACUUCAGAGGGAAUGACUGCACCUGCAGUCGCACAAUUUGUGCCGUCGGCUAAGAUCGGACGCCUCUACGCAUUUACCGGCCUGCUAUGGUCUAGCCCAACCACAGUCCGUCCUCUCCCCAGCUCGUCGAGAUGCAACAUCCCCUACACAUGAUCGAGUCGCAGACUGGCGCCCCAUGGGCCAUGGCUAAAGUGCUCUCCUCUGGUCUGCACUGUUCUUCCCCUCCGACUGCUCGUCACAGCUAUAUACAAGACGAUGUUUUCAGCUACUUUCUAGAUUUUUUUUUUGCCCAUGAUGAUGAGCUGAAUCGAUGUGCUGUUAAUUUGUUGCAUUUCACGACGUUGGGUACUAUGUGGUAUGCCAUCUUGGAUUGGAGAGCUACUCCAGAACACUGGAGAGCCUAGCUUUUGUGCUUCUGUCUCGGAUCCAAGACGUUCUCCAUGCCGACACCGUCAACACCUGCGAUCACAACAAGUGUAGGAGACGGAUGCAGCAGCAUUAGCGCACCAUCCUUCUCCCAUGUGCUUCUGGAUUCCGAGGGAAGGGGCCGUGUUUUGCAGUUCUGCUCAUGAGAUGUUCAAGACACAAUAACAAAAGUGCUACAGUACCAAAAUCCAAAAAAACUAUAGAUCUGAACAAGGUCCAAAUGAGUCUCCUAUUGAAGACAGCCUUAGUAUGCUGCAGUCCCAAAUUAGAAUUCGAGUCUUAUAUUCUAAAGAAUAAUGACAGGAGGCAAAGGCAAUUAGAUAAACUAAACAUUGAUUAAACAAUCAAUAAGAGGGGCUUGGGGAACAGGAGCAAUUGGGCACCCCCUUUACUUCAACACGUACGGAUGUCUCGUAUAGUGGUAGUGUCAUACUCGCUUGGCAGGGAACUGAGUUACGGAGCAAGUGAGAGGAGUAGCCAAUACGCAUGGCCGAUUGGUGACGACGAUGAUGCUGGACGGCGGACGCAAAGGCGCAGCGAUAAAGCCACGAAGGAGAGCGGCCAUGACUGGCAACUGACUCUUUCUUAUGCGCCUGAUAUUUCCUAUGAGCCAACCACUCCAUUGGUCUUGUUUAGUUCCAAAAUUUUUAGCAAAAUAAGCACUAUAGCUUUUUUAUUUGUAUUUGAUAAAUAUUGUCUAAUUAUGGACUAACUAGACUUAAAAGAUUCAUCUCGUAAAUUACAGACAAACUGUGUAAUUAAUUAUCCUUUUUAUCUAUAUUUAAUGUUCUAUGCAUGUGUUGCAAGAUUCGAUGCGAUGAAGAAUUUGAAAAUUUUUGCAAAAUUUAAGUGUGUUCAUAAGGACGAGUGUACGUGCAUGUUGAACGUCUACGUCUUUCUUAAAUCGACAUUUUUUUAACCUCAAAUAGAUAUCUUAACAAUGUUUGUAUAUGCAGUAUAAAACAUAGCAAACUUUGGCUAGUAAUAAUAUUGAAAAGAUUUGGCACAUUGUAUGCCGAUUUGAAAUAUUGAAAAGAAUUACUUCAAAGUCAUUUGUAUAUUUUUUCACUAAUUAUAUGUCGGAAUUAAUGUUCAAUUAUAUUACUAGAGCUAGUGACUUCAUCAAUCUCGAGAUUUGUCGGUCUAACUCGAUUUUUUUGAAGUGUUCAUAGGAUAGAAUGUGCGUGUGUGCGUUUAUAGAGGUGAAUGUGCGUUUGUAUUUAUAAGUUUCUACGUCUGUAUAUAUAGAAGUCAUUUGUAGUCAUUAAAGAAAGAAGAAGGCCUUGUUUAGUUCCUAAAAAAAACUAAAAUUUUUUCAAGAUUCCGUGUCACAUCGAAUCUUGUGGCAUAUGUAUGAAAUAUUAAAUAUAGACGAAAAAAAACUAAUUACACAGUUUACCUGUAAAUUACGAGAUAAAUCUUUUGAGACUAGUUAGCCCAUAAUUAGACAAUGUUUGUCAUAUAAAAACUAUCUAAAUUUUUUUCGGAAGUUAACAAUGCCGAAGUGAGAACCCGAUUCCUGCUCUGCUUUGUUUCCUCGAACCUGAUUGGCCCAGUAACCCCUCCCACGGAUCGUCUACCCCGGAUCCCCAUCCAACCGUCCAUGCCCCCGCCGAUCGGACCGUCCAUCGCGUUCGCACGCGGAUCGACGGGCCCACCACCCCACCCUUUCCGCGGGGUUUAAAAGCAUCCCACAGCGCAUCCCCUUCGUCAUCACACGCUCUCUCCUGCUCCCUCGCAUCCACAGCCUCUCGAGCUCGAAGCGCCGCAGCAGCACCAGCCCAGCAGCCAUGGACGUGAGCGGAGCCGGAUCCGGCGGGAAGGCGAAGAAGGGCGCGGGCGGGCGGAAGACCGGCGGCGGGCCGAGGAAGAAGUCGGUGACGCGGUCCGUCAAGGCCGGGCUGCAGUUCCCCGUCGGCCGCAUCGGGCGGUACCUGAAGAAGGGGCGGUACGCGCAGCGCGUGGGCACGGGCGCCCCGGUCUACCUCGCCGCCGUCCUCGAGUACCUCGCCGCCGAGGUGCUGGAGCUGGCCGGGAACGCGGCCAGGGACAACAAGAAGACCCGCAUCAUCCCGCGCCACGUGCUCCUGGCCAUCCGCAACGACGAGGAGCUCGGCAAGCUGCUGGCCGGCGUCACCAUCGCCCACGGCGGCGUCCUCCCCAACAUCCACAGUGUGCUCCUGCCCAAGAAGGUCGCCGAGAAGGCCGCGGCCGCGGCCAAGGAGCCCAAGUCGCCCAAGAAGGCCGCCAAGUCCCCCAAGAAGGCAUAGAGGGGCCUCCAUGGAGAUGUUCAGUAGAUCUGUAGUAGGUCUGUAGAUGGCACGGUCUCUGAGCUCUAGUGUCGUCGUUGUUGUUGGAACUGCUUAGAAGGUCUGUGCAUUUUGGUUGGAAGGUGAUUUCAGAAAUCAGAGAGUUUUGUACUUGCAAAAUGUUCUUCGAUUUCAGAAACCAGAUUUACAAUUUGGGUGCAUAAAUCUUCUUGUAGUAGUCUGACAUACAAAGCAGUCACAAAUUGUGUUCAUUUUUGACAGCUAAUGGUCGACCAAAUUAUAGGGGAUAGCUUAGCACAAGCUCAAGAACGGUUCCCUCAAAAAAAAAAGAAUGGAUGAAUGAACUUCGGUUUUGUUUAGUUCCGAAAAGAUUUCGGUACUGUAGUAUUUUAUUUUUAUUUGAUAAACAUUAUCCAAUUAUAGUCUAAUUAGGCUCAAAAGAUUUAUUUUGUGAUUUACAGAUAAACUGUGUAAUUAGUUUUUAUUUUCGUCUAUAUUUAAUACUUUAUGCAUAUGCCGUAAGAUUCGAUAUGACAGAAAAUCUUGAAAAGUUUUUGGUUUUUAGGAUGAACUAAACAAGGCCGAAGUAGACAAGUGAAAGAUCGGAAAAGAAAGUGCAUGACUUCAUGAGCUAAGCUGAAGGUCAGUUUUGCUGUUUCAUUAUUUAACAUUCAAAAUUCAGAACUAUUUACGCUAAUGCACAGCCAAGCUGAACUUAAGACACCACACUACUGAUCUCAUUUUGGUGAUUUUCACUCGUUGAAUCUGGAACCCUGAAUCAGAAUAAGUUCUGAAGGUAAUAGAUUUUCAGCUAAGCAAAGUUCUACCUACUAGGAGGCUAAGGACCGCGCCUCCACCUGCUCUUGGACCGUAGCAUGAGAAACGUUGGACCAUAAUAACUGAACAGACCUUACUCAGAGUCUCACAUCAAACAUUAUCAAUAUCUAACAGGAGUUGCUAACAGCUAGAUCCACACCAACAGACAACAAACAAGUUCCUGGUAGAUGACUUAAGGCAACAGUUGGAUGCAACACAAUUGUGUUUCUGUGGAAGCACCUAGCUCAACUCAACCGUAGACUGCUGUAACAAAGAGCAAUUGUCUGUGGCUAACCAUAAUACAACCACCUUCCACAACAAUGCUAAAGUACUUCAAAUAAUCACAAUCUACAAUGAACAUUAAGCUCUGUUCUAGGAAACAGUUUCCUACAAAAAUGUUUCAGUUACUGUUCAGAUGUACAGUGAGAAAAUUUGGUUUGGAAACUGGAUACAUCAUGAGGUCAGCAUCAACAUCUGACUGUAAUUUGUACAGGGCAUUGAAUGCCAAGCUAAGAAAUAACAAAUCCACAGGACUAGCUAAUACAUCGUAUUAGAGCAUCAAAGGAAAGGGGUGUCCACGAAUUGCCAAAACUCCAAGGCAAGCAUGGAUUGGUCACUGGCCAACACCAUAAACAAAACUGGGAAGCUCCCAAAGGUUUUGCAGUUGCAUCAACUGGGCACGGGGUAGAUACUUUUCUGCACCAUUAGUACACAACUUUGGAUCAAGCACCACCUGACCAACUUCAACCACACUCCAAAGUUCUUUAGAAUCUGCAGACGGGCUGGCAAUGUAAAUACAGUUCCUUUUCCCACCCCAUUUAUCAGGACCCGGGCAAGAAAAUGUUGGAUUCCUCCUAUCAAAACUAAUAAAGAGGGCAUUGUCUCCCAGAUCAUCCACUUUUACCCACUUAGCUGGUUCAACUUGAAAGUCAAGGCGAAAUACAUUAAAGGUUCCAGCUAUUCCAGAAAAUUGAUUGAUGCUUACUGAGAAGUCAACCAAGAGAAGCAUGUCACCACAGACCACCAACCACGGUGCAUUCCACAGUCCUAGAAACAUGUCCGCAUCCCAGACAACUGCUACUUCCUGCGUGCUCAGCUGAGGUUCCAACUGUACUCUGUGGAGCCUCUCAAGGAAGUCAAUGGCAAAUAUCUCACCUUUGAAGGACACAAUUUGAACAAUGCAUUGGACACCCAAAGGGUGCUCAGACCAAAAGUUUGAUCCAACCUGCCACUGAAACAUGGAUGAUCUUGAGCAAAAGAGGAGACGGGAAUUAGGUAAAUUGAUCGGAGCUACAAGGGCUCCAUAGUACACACUGCGGUUGUCAGUGAAUUUGAGCUUGGGAGGCCGCACGGUAGCACCACUGUACACAUCGACAAGGAGGCAUUGCUCCAAUUUGGAGAAGAUAAGAUAACCAUAUGAGCAACCCAAAUACUGCAUGUGGACCUGAAGGUUUUGGAGCGCUGAACAGCUAAGGGAGGAGGUUUGCUUCGCAGGAUCAACAAGCUGCCAACUGAUAUUGGAUAAAAGGCUGUGCUUGAUGUACCUGCGAUGGGGAUGAGAAUCAUGGCCAUUUGGCCGAAGGUGGAGAGGUGGGAUGUUGAAGGUAAAUGCAGGUGGGAGUGGGAGGGAAGAGAGCACAGCGCGCCAAGAGCGGCAGGUGCCAAUGAAAGCAAGGAGAUCAUGGAAUGAGCUAACGAGGACAAUUAUUUGGAGAAGCAGGCUGUCCAGAAGAUCUGCCCAAACAUCAGGGCUAGGUGCGGAAGAUCGGGUAGAGCUUAAGGCAUGGCAGGUUUUCUUGGAUGAGCUUUCUGCAACGGUGACUUCCCUGUCAAACACAGCAAAUUCAAUGCUGAUGGAUUAAUGGGACAAAUAUGAUAAAGAAUAAAAUGUUAAAAAUGCAAAAUGUUUUUGAUACAGACCAAGGUAUAUAAGGGAUAUCCAUUUCAUUAAACUCCAGAACAGGAUGCAUAUCAAACAUCAAUCAAAGCAAAGUACGACAAUACCACCCACAACUAGUACAUCAGCAUAGAUAUAUUUCUCAGUAGCCUAAGGAAUCCAUGUUUUUUUUUUUGAAUCUCAUGAUGGGGACAGUACUUUGAAUCAGGUACCCCAAAGACAUAAAAAAACAGAAGUUAAAUUUAAAAAGGAAAAUAAGUUUCCAUUAUUAUCUGGACGGUUUGGCUUCUCAGGGCCAAACUGGUACAUUGAGCAGCUGAACUACACCUUUGGCCUUUGCUAAAUCUCAGAAAACCAUGCAAUUAGUUCCAGGUAAGAUUUUUUAUUUUUCAAAUUUUAAUAGUUCCAUCUGAUAAGCUCUUCCUGGAUCCCUGUGCUAUCACGAAACGAGAAUCACAUGGUGUACUAAAGGUACUACAAGGCAGUAAUUUAUCUGAACUCCAAUAAGGAUCUCUUAGGAGAGGUGCGAAUGCAGUAACAGUAAUCUGGUACACAAGACACGUUAACCGAGCUCGGAGGCCGCAUAAACAUAGUAUUUAAUACAACUGACACGCUUUAGCAGUUCGCAACAAACAACAGGCAAGAAACCUCUGAUUUCAGUGAGCAUAAGCAUUUUAGGCAGCGAGAUAAGGGCACGAAUCCAUGGCCGAAAAGCACACCAAACCAACACGAGAGACUAUUGCUUGACGCAGGAUAUAUAGGCUCCCCCUAGUCCCUACCUGCUGGCUGCUUCAAUCUGUCUCCACAUCUAUCUACCCAACGAAACUGUACCAAAGGGAAACAAAGAGCGGCAUGGAGCGAGGGUUAGGGUAAGGAACGCGGGCGGACCUGAGAGCGUUGGAUUCCAGCGGCGGGGGCUCUCCUGGGGAAGGAAGCGGCGGCGGAAGCGCUUGUCGGGGAUGCCCACGCCGGUGGCGGCGGCGGCGGCCGGCCAUGGGUGACGGUGACCUGUGUGUCUCUGUGCGUGUCGCACGAGUCGGCAGGGAGGAGGAGACCAACGAAGAGGCUGUUCUGCUGUUGGAACUUAAGCGGGUGGCCCAUGGGCCGAACCUUGGGGAUUUGUUGGGCUGAUUUGGGCCCAGAGGCGACAGGUGAGGCCCAUCAGCAUCAGGCCGAAAUGGAAAGCGAAGAAGGCAGCAGAGCAGGAGACAGGAGUUUAGGAAAAAGAUUUGGUCAAACCUUAAAUCAAGAGUAAAAACAAUAAUGACUUUGUUUUUCGAGGACAACAAACAUUAUUGUUGUGACUAGAUAUGAUGUCAUAUGUAUGGUUCAGUAUGGAGUGUACAGGUAAUUCCACUGUUUGGAUAAGGGCUCGUUCAGAGUUUUCAGGAUGCAGCAGAAAUAAAUCCGACUUCCAAACAUUUAAUAAUUGUCAUGAAAUCAGCGUCAACUAGGAAGACAAGUAUUAUAAGAAAAAAAUACAGAUCACCGACUAGUAACAAUUAGUAACCAAUAGCUAAGUCCGAUAAAAAAUGCCCCAAGGCCUUGUUUAGUUCACCCAAAAACCAAAAAGUUUUCAAGAUCCUUGUCACAUCGAAUCUUUCGGCACGAAGCAUUAAAUAUAGACGCACAGUUUAACUGUAAAUCGCCAGACGAAUCUUUUGAUCUAGUUUGUCCAUGAUUAGACAAUAUUUGCCAAAAACAAACGAAAGUGCUACAGUGGCGAAAUCCAAAAUCUUUUCGCAUCUAAACAAGGCCCAAGUACAUUUAUAGUUUUGAAACACCAAAGAGUAGCAUCACAUAUCUUCAAAACAAACCGUAAAACCAUAAUGAGUUGGGAAACCGAAUUCAUUUGAUAACUUAGGCCUUGUUUAGUCCGUGAAAUUUUUUGGCUUUGGCUACAGUAGCACUUUCAUUUGUAUUUGAUAAUUAUUAUCUAAUCAUAGACUGACUAGGCUCAAAAGAUCCGCCUCACAAAUCACAAGCAAAUUGUGUAAUUAGUUAUUUUUUAUCUAUAUUUAAUGCUCCAUGCAUACAGUGGCGUAACUAGGAUUUACAGCUAUGGUGGUCCAUUGUCUAAUUUUUUUAAGCCACGAUAAAAUUAACAUGUCGGUACACAAGUCUAUGAAUUACAAAACACAAUUAAGAAAAAAAACAUAUAGAGUUCAUAAAAUAAACGAGUCUAACUUUCUUAACAUAGAAUUUAAAUAUUGCAUACCUAUAAUAGUUGAAGAACAAUAUAUCACUAUUUAUUUUUGUGAGGCCCGCGCCUUUUAAUAGCCUUGAAAGUGUUGAUGAUAUCUUCCUCGCUCAACUGUAAGAAGAUAUCCCUCAAUAAAAGUCACUAGAUAAUCAUCCAAAAGGCUAUCACCCAUCUUAUUUCUCAACUUGUUCUUGAUAAAAGUUACCGCUGGAAAUAUUCUUUCAACACUUGUGGUAGCCACCGGUAGAAGCAAUACCAACUUGAUAAGUAAAUAGACCCAAUGAUAAACUUUGUCCCUCUUUGUUUCAACAAGUUUUACUGAGAGGUCAACAAGAUUGCUUAUGCCUUUGAAAAACUCAUUUGUUCUCAUGUCAUUAAUAAAGUUUUCAAGUUGCAAAUCGAGUCUUAGCAAGUCAGAGCUUGGAAAUUCAUUAGGGUAAAAUUCAGCAAGACUAUGUACCUUGUUUGCAUCAAAAGAAGCAAUGCGCCUUUUAAUAGCCAUGAUAGUGUUGAUGAUAUCUUCCUCGCUCAACUAUAAGAAGAUAUCCCUCAAUAAAAGUCACUAGACAAUCAUCCAAAAGGCUACCACCCAUCUUAUUUCUCAACUUGUUCUUGAUAAAAGUUACCGCUGGAAAUAUUCUUUCAACACUUGUGGUAGCCACCGGUAGAAGCAAUACCAACUUGAUAAGUAAAUAGACCCAAUGAUAAACUUUGUCCCUCUUUGUUUCAACAAGUUUUACUAAGAGGUCAACAAGAUUGCUUAUGCCUUUGGAAAACUCAUCUGUUCUCAUGUCAUUAAUAAAGUUUUCAAGUUGCAAAUCGAGUCUUAGCAAGUCAGAGCUUGGAAAUUCAUUAGGGUAAAAUUCAGCAAGACUAUGUACACUACACCACAACCUUUAAACAGCGAUGGACAAUCCGUUGUUAAAAGGGGUGUACACCAAUAGAUAGUCCGUUGCUAAAGGCUAUAGCGACGGACCGCUGUCGUUGCUAUUGAAGCCGUCGUUGUAUGUAUACAGCGACGGACAUCAUAUUUAGCGACGGACAGUUCGACAGUCCAACCUUUAGCAACAGACAGCCUGUUAGAGCUUUUAGCAACGGACAAUCCAUCGCAAUAAGAACUUUUAGCAACGGACAGUCCAUCGAGCUCAAUUAAAUAGAUAAAAAAAAAUAAAAAGCUGCUCUAAACGUAUAGCCGAUGAUCAAACAUUAGCCAUACCUUGAUUCACAUACACAAAAGUGAUCAAAUUAUCCAUACAUUGAUUCUUAUAUCGACCUAGUACAUUAUAUAUAUAUAUAUAUAUAUAUAUAUAUAUAUAUAUAUAUAUAUAUAUGUAUGUAUGUAAUGUCACUUAAUAUGGAACUAGUCAAAACAUGAUGAGUAUCAAUCUGCAGCAACAAGAGGCAAAGGUGAUCUGCCAGGGUCUUAUAUACAUGUCACUUGCUAAUUAUAUACAAUAGUCACUUGCUAAUUACCAAUUUCAUAUUACAUGUCCCACCAACAUACUCUAAGUAAACCUACUUGCUACCCGAACUAAGAUAAGAAGCUCAUGUAACUGAUUAUCCAAAAGAGAGAGACUAGCACCUAAAUCAGCUUCGAGUGGCAAAUCAUCCACCAACUUGCUAACUAGCACCAUAGCAAACUCUGAAACCCAAACCAAACAUGCAAUUAGUAACAUGUUUAGGCAAAGUUACUAUGCUUCAUUUUUUGUUAAAUUAAUUGGAUCUUAAAUAAUGAGUUUUCCAUAUCUUUGAAGCUUACAUAUGUGUUGAGAAAGACAAUUCAUGUAGUAAAUAGAUGCUCCAUAGAAACCUAGUCAAUUAACACUUGUGCUACCCGAGCUAAUGUUGCGGUACAGACAUAUGCAAAUUAGAUCUCAUUGUAUCUCUUGUUUUGACUUGUUUGCACUAGGGUUCAACGAGAUAGUUUAGAUGAAUCAAAAAUGAAAAAAAUUAUCACAGCUAUCUCAAAGUCAGGUUAUUUUUUGCCUACUAACUGUACAUGUGCCACCAGCUCCUAUCUCAAGUUUCCAGGAAGCUUUUUCUCACUGAAAAUAUGCAAAUGCAGCCCAUGUAAAGGAAAAUAAACUAGGAUUUAUUGCAACAGUGUGUAUCACAUAGUCUAUAUAUCACAAAAUAGUUUAUAUAUCACAGAUCUGCAUAAGAUUGUUGAAUUGAAUAUUGAACUGCAUAAAUCAAUCCUUUAUGUGCUAGCAAUUGACAAAAACCUGAUUACAACUUUAGAGCAAUGCAACUCACCACAGAGGCUAGCCACGUCCUAGUUCUAAUGGCUUGAACAUGAGGAAGACUCCUUAUCCUGUAGUAGCGUGUACUGUGAGCUCCGUGGUUGCCUCUGCUAGCUCGCUACAUAUUGGACAAAAACAACCUGAGCACAAAUAGGUAAAUUCAUAUAAGCUCAUGUUGAAAUAAUAAGUAUUUGUUCUUAACUUUGCAUAAAUAGAUGGUCUCUUGUGCAAGGACUUGUUAAAUAUUGCUAGUGCUAUUCUUAAUUUGUAAAACUAAACAUGUUACACGUUUCUCUGUGAAACCUGAAAUUCCUUGAGGCAAGUGAUCAGCAUAUUUAUUUCCUACUAAAACCUGAAUGAAGGGCACUGUGUUAGGUUCAAGAGGCAUCACUCACUCAUAGUCACUCAGUCACAGCCCCUGCUGUGAACUUUCUGUAAUCAAUUUAACACAUUUGACUCUUUCUACCUUACUCCAUCACUGGAAAUUCAUUUAAAUGCAAAUAGAAAAGGAUAUGGACUGAAUUAAUCACAGAAAAAGAUAUAAACAGUUUUAGGUAGCAGUACUAUCACAGUCAAACAUUAGAUGCACUAGAAACUUGAUCUACAGGCUAUGUUACACUCUAAAAACUUUAAACAUCUAACAUGUUGAAACUGUGAGACAUUGAGGGCUCCCUAUCCUAGCCUAUUUGCACUUAUUGCAACAUUGAGAGAAGCACUGCUAUCAACAUGGUAAACAAAGGAACAAAAGACUGUACAUAAAUCUCUAUCUACCCGUCGAUCCCUCCUACUCAUAUAUGCCAAUUUAUGAUUCACAAAAGAAAAAAUGGGGAAAACGCAAAGGGUAAGCAGACAAGUUUUCUUCUAUAGAUAUGUUAAUUACCCACACAUAUAGAAGCAGCAGUAGCAUACUACGCAAAACAGGUAAUUCCUAGGCUAAUAAAAAAUAAGAUCAAUUAGCAGCCAUAUCUGAAUCUGGAUCAAUCCACUGUCAUUCUGUAAUCCUGAACAUAGUCAUCCUUGAAUCGGCAGUCAUAGCUGCAACUAACUAAAGCAACCCAGUUAAGAAGAACUAGCAGAGAAGGAUACAUGAAACCCAAAUUCAUUUUGAAGCAAACCAGUAACCGUUAAUUAGUUCAGUUGAAGCGGAGGGAAGUAGCUCGGACCUCUCGGCGCUGGCGCUGUUGGAGUGGAGGUGAGGAGGGCCCCAUGUGCUGGCGCUCGUGGAGCUUCUCGGCACAGGCUGUGCUUGCUGGCUCGUGGAAAUCAGUCAUCAUCAAAGCAGAAAUCUGCUUGCACAACCUCCCUGCAUCUAGCUAAAAAGAUCUCCUUGCAUGACCUGCAUUGAGCACAGAAAAAAACAUUGAUCUAUACUUCUUGCUCGUUUCCUGAUCCAUACAAAAGGACAAAAGAAAAAAAUGAAAGAUGCUUUAAACUCUGUAUAUACCCUCUCUGGCAGCUUGCUCGUUUCCUGAUCCAUACUUCUUCCUGGCUCGAGUAAAUACAAAAGUAUGAUAGCCAUAAGCAUUGAUCUAUCUAUAAGGUAAAUGAUCUAGUAAGUAUAAAAUUCAGAUAUAUAAUAGCCAUGUAAACAGACUUGAGGAAAACACCACCUAAAUUGAAAAAGUAACAGAGAUGUAAAAUCAUACCGUAGCCAUUUAUCUGAUGCACAGUGCAACACACUUACAUCCACCAAAAUUAGUGCAGUACAGCUCACCUACAAAUUGCAUUGCAUAGCAUUUUUCAAGUGUUUGUUCUUGAGCUAUUCUAUACCUAUACCAAAGCCAGCAACACACAACAACCUGCCUGUCAAGGGGUAAAAACUAAAAAACGAAAUGCAUCACAUCUCAGCUGAAAUUGACACAAGGGACAUUAAUCCACAGGAAAUUACAGACAUCAUAGAUCAGGGAACCAUAUCAAUUUGGGGAAAGGAGAGAACCAGCUAGGGUUACCCAAAUGAAAUCCAUAAACUAUGCACCUGGAUCCCGCCGCUGCCGUCGCCCUUCUGUCGGGAUCUCGCCGUCGUCGCCACCACCCAGGAUGGGAUCCCACCGACACUGGUGCCUUUGCUUGAAACUGUGCCAGGAUCCAAACGCUCGCACUUCAGGCACCCAAACAUGGCUGUGGCGGGGGCGGACUCGUCCUGGGGCGCCGCGGCUGAUGUCCUGGGAUGGCGUGGGCGCGGCUGACUGUCGAAGGCGGACAACCCAGUGACGGACGUCGGGGCAGGGGCUCGACAGCUGGUGGGGCAGGGCACGGCCGGGCGACGGGGCAGCCGACAGGGGCAGGCGGGCGAGCGAUGGGCAGUCGUCUGGUGCCGCGCGGGUUGCAGGGGCAGUCGGGUGGGCGAGCGUCGUGUGUGGAGGCGGCGCAGGGCAUGUGGAUAAGUUGGUUUGGUCUUGGAGAAAUGUAUUUGGUCUGAGUGAGGUGAGUUAGGGUUUACAAUUGACUAUUGGGCUAUAAACAUCGCGCCAAUGCGAAUUCGUAUAUAGCGACGGACGAUCCAACUUUUUUUUCUCGAAAACGCAGGAGAGCUGCGCUUCAUUAUAUUAAGAAGAGAAUAAAGGGCAAGAGCCCAUACAACACCACACAAACCCACACACACACCCACACAAACAGACUCUAGGAUUACAUUCGAGCCGGAGACACCAAAACAUAAGACGACCACGACUGAGCUAGACACUCUAACUACCAGGGAGGAGGGCAGCCAAGAAAGAAAGCCCUCGAGCCCCAGCCAUAGACCACAGGUGGCGUUCCUCGCCAGCCAAGAUGAGCGCUUUGGCAAGGUUCGGAGCCGCACCAUCAAAAACACAACUAUUACGAUGGUUCCAAAUAGUCCAAGCUCCAAGAAUGAUAAGUGAAUUGACUCCUUGCCUCUUCAAUCCGACCUCGGAGAUGCUGCUAGCAUCAUCCCACCAAGCAUGGAAGGAUAGAUCAGGAGAUUGAGGGGACAAGUUUUGGAGACCGACUUGUCGGAAUAGAAAGAACCAGAAUUCUCUUGCAAACACACAAUUCACAAGGAGAUAGUCAAUAGUCUCCUCUUCUUGGUCACAAAGAGGACAGCACUCAGGAUGAGGCAAUCCACGACGUGCGAGUCAAUCAGCUGUCCAGCACGCGUUGUGCGCGACCAACUCAAUUACUUAUAUAUAGCAACGGAUGAUGCAACGCAAAAGUAAAAUGUUUAUAGCAACGGACCAUCCAUCGAUGUAUUGAAAUUUAGCAACAGAUGAUCUGAGGGGCACCUUUAGCAACGGUUUAUUCAACGCUAAUUUUUAUCUUUAGCAACGGAUGUCCGAUGCUAUUUUAGUGUUGUGGUGUAGUGGUACCUUGUUUGCAUCAAAAGAAGCAACACGCCUUUUAAUAGCCAUGAAAGUGUUGAUGAUAUCUUCCUCGCUCAACUGUAAGAAGAUAUCCCUCAAUAAAAAUCACUAGACAAUCAUCCAAAAGGCUAUCACCCAUCUUAUUUCUCAACUUGUUCUUGAUAAAAGUUACCGCUGGAAAUAUUCUUUCAACACUUGUGGUAGCCACCGGUAGAAGCAAUACCAACUUGAUAAGUAAAUAGACCCAAUAAUAAACUUUGCCCCUCUUUGUUUCAACAAGUUUAACUGAGAGGUCAACAAGAUUGCUUAUGCCUUUGAAAAACUCAUUUGUUCUCAUGUCAUUAAUAAAUUUUUCAAGUUGCAAUCGAGUCUUAGCAAGUCAGAGCUUGGAAAUUCAUCAGGGUAAAAUUCAGCAAGACUAUGUACCUUGUUUGCAUCAAAAGAAGCAAAGGAAUCUGCUAGAUUCAAAGCAGCCAUACAAGUAAGAAACUCCAUAUUUACCUCAUCAAAUUGACUGUCAAGCUCUUGACUAAUUCAAUGACUCCAAUAUAUACUUCUCUUCUGAAGUGAUCAUCAUUUGUUUGGUUUGGAGCAAAACGUGUUGAUCUUCCAUAUGGCACAUAAUUAUUUUCCAUUACAGGAACUUGAAUGCCAAAUUUGUUGCAAAAUAUAUAACCCUUUGAAGAAAUGAAACCCACCCAUCAGACGUCAUAUGUUGCAUUUUACUCUUUGCCAAACGAACAAGUGACAUUGCAUUAAGAAUAUCUUGAUCUUUUCUUUGCAAACACUCAGAUAAUUCAUUUGUGUGUCCAAGAAUAUCAAGCAUCAAAUGAGCAUUGAAAAUGAAAUCAAAUGACUCAAACACUCCAACCAUAGUAUGUAUUUUUGGCCAAUCACCCCUUGAUGAAGUAUCUUGUCCAAGAGAUAUGAGUACAUCGCGAAUUGUGGGACACAUAGCAAUCAUGUUGACCACAGUUUUGUAAUGAGAGCCCCAUCGGGUAUCACCAGGUCUAGGCAGCCCCAUCUUUUGAUUUAACCCACUUCCAGAUUCUAGUAUACCACACUCAAGUGCUUUCAUGACAUUAUCAUAUUGGUGAUGUCGAAGCAUUCCAUGACGCUUACAAGAACUACCAACAAUGUUUAGCAAGAGGGAUACUCGAUCAAAAAAACACACACAAUCACCACUGUCUUUGGCAACAGCAAAAAGAACCAAUUGGAGUUGAUGUGCGAAACAGUGAACAUAAUAAGCAGAUGGUGAUUCUUUUAUGAUCAAGGUUUUCAGCCCUUUAAUCUCCCCUUUCACGUUACUAGCCCAAUCAUAGCCUUGCCCACGGAUUUGAGUUGUAUUCAAACCAUGACUAACUAGUAAAGAUUGAAUUGCUUCCUUAAGUGAUGAAGAAGUAGUAUCAUCUACAGGAACAAUUCCAAGAAACCACUCACAUGGCCUUCCUGAUUUAUCAACAUAACGCAAGCAAAGGGCUAGUUGUUCUUUAUGGGAGACAUCACUAGACUCAUCAGCUAAAAUUAUAAAGUAAUCAUCACCAAUUUCCUUAAUGAUUUGAUCUCUUGUCUUCAUUGCACAACAUUGAAUAAUUUCUUUUUGUAUGUCUGGACUAGUCAAAGUGCAAUUACCUGGAGCAUUCUUCAAUACAAACUUGUCCACCUCUUCAUUAUUUGCUUCAAGCCACUUCAAAAGCUCAAUGAAGAUCCCUCUGUUGCUAGACUCUUCACUUUCAUCAUGCCCACAGAAUGCUAACUCUUGCUGCAAAAGAAACCUCAAACAUCUAAGUGAAUAAGUCAACUUGAUCUUGUAAAGACACCGCUCCUCACUACCCACCUUCCCAAUUUUAUCAUCAAUUGCUCCAUGGGGAGUCAUAAAUAAGUUGUAUCUUUCUUGAGCUGCAUUGUGAGCACUUGUUACACUACCCACAUGUAAAUCAAGUGCAUCAUUUCUAUUCCAAGUUCUCCAGCCACCUUCCACAAAUGCAGAUUUCUUAGUUUUCUCCUUUGCAAACAAGUAGCACACAAAGCAAAAUGCUGCUUCCUUCUUGAUACUAUAUUGAAUCCAAGGAUAUUUAUAAAACCAUAGAGGAUUGAAUUGUUGAUCCCUUUGUCCAAUUUUUCUACUUUCAAAUUCAUGAGCAUAAGGUUGGUAUGGGCCUUUGAUGAUAUAAGAUCAUCGAAUUGCAUCUUGAUCAUUGACAGGAUAAUUUGCAAUAGGCUAUCUUUCCCCUGGAUCAAGUGGAAGCCGACUAAUAUCAUAAACUGGUGGACUUGGAGUUGGAGGCACUGGAGUUGGAGCCACGUUUUCUUCAAUCACUCUAUCUUCAUCUAGCCUAUCUUCUUGUUCUUCAAUUUCCUCUUCUGGGAUAGCUGUAGCCAACGAAGGAGAUGGAGAAGAAGCCUUCUUCUUUGAUUCAUAUUUCUGAAAAAGAGAGGCGAUAUCACCACUCCUCUUCAUUUUUAACAAAUCUGCAAGAUAAAUAAACCAGCCCAAUGUUUCAAUUAAAUAUUUAAAUUAUUUCAGUGAUACAAUAAAAUUUUAAAAUUACGAGUGAAGUCAUAUAUGUAAACCUAGUCAUGGUGAGAUAGAGAUCAAUCAGAUUGAUCUAAUUGAACCCUAGGUCAAGUGCCGGACGCAUGUGAUACACGGCGGUAGUAGAUGGGAUCUACUGCUGGGCGGCGGAUUGCCGGACAAAGUGUUGUUCGGUAAAACAGCCGUAACUUUUGAUCCGUAACUCGGAUUGAGACGAUCUCUAAACGAAAAUCAUAGAGAAAAAAAUUUUACAUCUGAUUCUCCACAUGAAACCGUGUUCAGAGAAAUUAGAAUUGCGAACAAAGGCCGGGAAAAUAGAGUUUUUGGAUCCACAUAGAUAUUGUCCACCUUAUGUAAUGGCCUGUGUGCCAAUCUGUGAAGAUCCUACCCGCAACUAUGUAAUUUUCAUUCACUGCCUUGUGUUAGUGAUAGCUAGUCUUGGUGGAAUCAUUAAUGGAGGAUGGCGUACGUGGAUCAUGGAGAUGGAGAUCACCAUGAUGAACAGAUAGAUGGAGAUGGAGAUCCCCAAAGUGAUAAUGGGCUAUACCAAGUCAUAUCUAUGUUAAUGCCAUUCUUACUAUGUUCUACUUUCAUAUGCGAUGAUGUUUUGUCUACAUGCGCGUGGUAGUGAAGUAGAACGAUCCCUCAGCAAUGUUUAAGUUACAUGCUCCCCAAACCUUGCACUGUCAUGUGUCUUGUACAAUCAGUGGUAGGUCUAUGAAAUUAGGGUGCCACUGGUUUUCCUUGACUAGGCAGGUUCGUAUCGGAUACUUACUGUAGAAGGGUUGGUUUCUUGAACAAGGUCAUACUAAUGGUUAGGGACCUUGGAGCAUAAGUAGUUGGGCAACACAAGCAUAGAGAUGCCACCCCAACAACAAGAGUCAUAUGUGAUAUGAUUAGCAAGGAGUUUCUUACCUAUCUACCAUAUCUACUAGCUGUGAUGCUAAAGCUCACUAGUAUACUUGUUAGUUGUGGGUCUUAAAUCACUAAGUAUCAAUUGAGGGAUAUUGAUUUUAGUGGGAGUAGAUUUUAUUUAAUAUUAUUUACUCUGUCUUGGAUACGUUGUCUUAGUAUUUUGUAUUACUUUUAUUGUAGAUUAAUGGCGCCCACCAAUCAAACAUUUACUUUGCACUCAAUUCUUGAGAAAGAUAAGUUGAAUGGAACAAACUAUGCAGAUUGGAUCCGCAACCUGAGAAUUGUUCUCAGGGCUGAGAAAAAGGAAGAGAUUCUAGACACACCAUUAACAGAAGCACCUGAGAUUAAUGCAUCUACUGCAGAGAAGAACGCUUACAAGAGAGCAUGUGAUGCGGAUCUUGAAGUUUCUCAUAUCUCUUCCCUAUCUUUCCACACUUGGCAAACCACGGUCACCUGCGUGCAAAUAUACGCAUAGCCUAGGAGCACACAUUUGGAGAAGUAGAAGGAGCUAAGAAAGGAAAAAGGAGGAAAGACAAGUUCCAGGUGAGAAAAGCGCAAGAGAAAGAUCUAGUGAAAGGGCUAGUGCCAAGAAAAAAACUUUUAGGAUAAAAAUAUAGGAAACUCUUGUAGAUGACCUUUUUUCUCUGCAUACUAAUUUAUGAGUUGACAAACACCAUAUUUUGAAGAAUAAAAUAUGAGAAACUCUUGGAAAUGCUCUAAGUAAAGAGACGUUGGCAUUUGGCAAAAUAUGUCAUAUAAUUUUUUCCUUCUUUAGCAAAAGAACAAUUGGUGAAGUUAUUGUAAAACUAUUAAAAGAAUAAGUAGAGAAAUAUUAUAUGUUAAAAAUCAUUUCUUCACAUGCACAUGACAGAAGAAACAAAAAUCCUCAGUUCAUUUACAGUUGUAGAAUAUGUUAUGAAAAACACUAGCUCAACUUAGACUGGUUGUAAUAAGGAAUAAUUUACUCUAGCUGAAUAGAAUAAUUCAUGAGCCAGCUUCUGCUCGACAGCCAAAGCAAAUGCAAGUAACCAACAGCAACAACCAAUCACAUUUGAGCUUAAUGUGGCAGAGCUCUCAGUUCAAACAUUUCUGGGACAUGACCUCCGUGUCAUAUGCAAGAUAAAUGCAAUUUCCAGCAUAAAUAAAUAUAUACAUCACCAAGGAAAGUAAGGCUGAGAAAAAGGAAGCACAUAUAAAGCAUGGAGGCAUCAUCCUGGAAGCACAAAGAGUAGCAUUUCAAACUCACAAAGGGUAGCAUUUCAAACUCAUAACUUGAAUGUGUCAGGUAGCUCGAACUAGUUCAUGACUAAAUAACUAGCAUAUGUAAUGCUAACCUGCAUGACAUCUUGUAAACAGCUUUCUCACAACAUUACAAAAGCGUUACAUUAAAGCACCGGUAAAAUAGAUAACCAAAUGAUAAUAGAUUUAUCUAGCUUUGCAUCACCAAAUUCUAGUAGAUUUACCCACACUGCUAGCUGCCCAAACUUGGAAAAUCAAGCUCUUGCUGAACAUUUAGAGAAGUAUCCCACAAGCAACAACCUUAGUCCUUGGUGGCAAGAACCGGUAACUCUAUGUAACGGGGAAUGUAUGGGGUAAUAUACAGAUAGUCCUCUCCUAGACUCCGGAGAACAUGCAGUUCCGUACUAUCCAUGUAAUAUGAUACCAGUUUCUGGUUCCAGUGCUGAACAAGGAAUAUUGAAUUGUGAUCUGGAUGAAUGGCCACAAUAUCAAAAUCAUUGAACGGGCAACUCAGUGAUCCAAAGAGCUGUGAACAACUCACAUUGUGCUUCAGAAUCCAUUCUUGUGUAUCAUAGUCCUCAAGAACCCAAACUGAUAGCUCUGUGAAUUGGAACUGGAGGUCUUUAAAUUGCAGAUCCGUACUGAUGCAGUGCAGAUGGCCUUGGGAUUGAUCAAUAAAAGCAGGAAUGUUAACUCCUUGCUUAUCAUGCCAACGGAUGACCCUACAAAUUUUCGCUUCCCCGUCCACUGCAACUAUCAUAUUCUCCUUUUUCUCAGCAUGGUAGACUACAAAAUGCAACAAACCAUUGACCAAAGCCUUGCCACACAUGAAUCCGAUUAUGACUUCACCCCACAGUCCCCAUCCACCGCCCUCUUUACCUUGCUCCAACUUGCUUGACCUAUUACUCCAUGCCCUAGUUUCAGAUGAGUAAGAGUGCACCAUUUCUAUCUCCACCUUCCCCUUCAGAUUUAUCCAGAAUUGGACCAAGUGGAAGCGUGAGGAGACAACCGGGUCAAACAUCAGAUAGGUGUGUGCAUAUCUUUCCCCAUCAUCACCAUCAUAGUUCUCUUUCAGUUGAGGUGGAGACGGACAAGAGCUAGAGCUGGCGGGCACAGUCACCAAUUCCUCAGUCGUAGGGUUGCACACAAUGUACCCAAACUUGUUAUCUUGGAUGCACCCAAAGAGCAAGAUCCCGUUGCAGGAAUCCAAGAGGGCGAUACGCUCGACCCCAGGCAGCUUCGCCAUGAGGAAGGAGAAGGAAGGGUCGACUGGAGGAGCAUAUUCUCCGCUCCCUGGUAGGCUGGUGAAGUGCCCAUAGCUGUAAGGCCCGUCAGCACCACCGUGGAAGAAGCCUUCCAAGGUCUGGGGCAGCUUCUUGCAGUGGAGGGGGUUGGCGAUGAGGUCGUGCCAGGGUUUCGACACACACUUGGAUCGGCGGACAUCCUUGACGGGCACGCAUGAGAGGAUCUCCACCAUUAGGUCAUCAUAGAGGCCCGCCACCACCGUCCCCUUUGCGCAGUCCAUGCCGCCGGGAACGAGGAAGGGAUGCGCCACAAGCUGCAAUUUUUGCGGAGAAUCAGGUGAGGUUAGGGGAUGGAUGCGCACAAGAGAGGCACGGACCAAGAAAUGCGACGGAUGGGGAAUCUACCGGCUGCCGGAGAGGGUCCGCGUCGACGGCGGCGUGCUAGUCAGGGGGGAUCGGGGAAUUGCCCAGAUGGGGAAUUUUCUAAACCCUUGCAGCUUUGCACCUCCUGACUCUCGUGUCUCACCUCAUGACACGGUGAUUAUUAACUUUUUACCAUUAUUACCAUCGGUACCUCCUCAGAUAGCAGCUUUAGAAUUGCCACUACAUCUUCACUGGUAGAAAGAGAAAACAACUACAAAUUUACUAUAUUUGCUCGCGUGGCAGGAGGAGAGCCAGAGAGAGACAACUGACAAGUGGGGUCUAGUUGUCUGUGAGUAGAAAGACAUCAGGGGUAGGGGGCAUCAUUUUGCAUGGGGCUGGUGACUUGGAUCCAUGCUAGAGUGAGGUGUUGGCAUGCCACGUGAGCAGAAGUGGCAUUUUUGUAUCGAAUUUCUCUUCCUACUACUAACAUGUAGUGCCAGUUCUAAGAAUGCUAUGUCAGGGGUCGACAUCCAAAAUAAUGGUAAAAAAUUAAUAAAUAUCCCUAGGACAUGACCACGCAACUGCACGACACUGCUACUACGCGCAUGACUACACCGAGUCGCUUCCGCUGCACCUGCGCAUCUAGUGGUAAUCCCGUGAUCUAUAACUUGUAGUUGAUCCUGUUUAUGAGGUCGAAAUAUUUGUUUUCUAGCUAGCGUAGCAUCCUCGUAAUCCUUCAGCACAGUGGCGGCCAGCCCAACAUAGUCCACGGCCAAAUGGUGAGGGGUACUACACUUUGGGCCAAAUCUACAAGGUGGUCCAUGGACCACUCUGUCCACCUUGUAGCUCCGCCACUACAUGCAUACGUCAAAUAAUUUGAUGUGAUGUGGAAUCUUAAAAAUUUUUGAAACUAAACCAGGCCUUAUAUAAAUAAAGCUGUACAAACAUCUCAGUCACCUUCCAGUAUUAAUUGAAACGGUAUUAAUCGAAACCAAAUAAUAACAGAGGAUACACAGCUAGUGAAAGGGAGGAAACACUCUGCCUCAUUUCCAUGGCAGUAGAAACCUGAAUGGCCAGUGAAUCCACAGAAGCAAACUAGAAUGGGUAACACGAACUGAUCAAACAUUUUCAUGCAGAUUACGGAUGGAACAAAAAAAAACAGACGAGACUGAAUUCCCUUCAAACAAGCAUCUCAAGCUGUCAAUAAUAUACAAAUACGAAUGAAGUACUAGCUACGUCCUUCCAAAUAUAUAAAUAUUUUUUAUCCAAAGAGUGAUUCAUGCAACACAAACCGACUUCUCCAUAUAAUCAUGGACUUGAAAGGAAAUUGACCAAUUCUUGUUUAGACUAUAUUGAAGAAUUUGUUACAUAAUCAUUACAGUUGAAAAUUAGAUUAUGACUCCAUUUACCACUUUAUAUGGAGCUGAAUCAAGUUAGAAAUCCGUUUUGUAAUGCAUUCAGUCUAAAUUGAGGCUAACCUAGGUGAAGCUAAAAUGAAAGAUUUAUAACCUUCAGUGCACGACCGGGACCGGCAGUCACCAAAUUUGAAUAUUAAUCUCGUGCGCAGCACAAUAGGUACUUUUUUUUUUGCGAAAAUGCACAAUAUAGGUACUAUAAUGUACCAAAUGGUGGAUUAUCAAAAAAAAAAAACAACAAAAUGGUGUCAAAAGGUCAUAUUUGUUAUACCUUUUGAGCAAUCAGGUUAAUUCUCAGGUAAAAACAGGAACAUCAAGCAGCUCGCUUCAGUUAAAAAGUGAAAGAUGUAUGUUCUAGAAUAAAAUGUUGUAUGCCACAAAUAUAUUGCAAAGAAAAAUGGUAAUAGUACCUAAAUGUUGCUUCAUCCAAAAGAAGCUAUCAAAUAGAACAAGAUGGGAGGGAAGCUUUAUUAGAAUUAUAGGAACAAUCAUUGCAUGUGUAUAUGGGAAAGCUAGCAUCAUUCUCCCUUCAUUUGCAGCAACAAACUAGAAAUCUUUUGGCACUGGAAUUUGAGAUGAAAUGCAUUCAAAGUGAGAUCAAAUAUCAAACUGCAGGGUGCAGGGAAAGAAACAUUGUUUUGCUAAAUGUAAUUUCUCUCCACGACACUCUUAAAAAAAUGCAAAUAAUUUGCAUGUAAAGCAAUCUCUGCACCUCUAUCAGGCCAAAAUUCUACUAGGCUGCUACAGCAAGGUUCAAAUUACUAUUCCCCAGCACAGAUUAAAGCAAUGGUCCGAAAACACUAUGAAUAUCAUGUAAUGGAGGUGGAGCUUUCAGUCAAAAGCAUUCUGAAAGAUGCACUGUCCACACUCCCAGCAUACAAAAGAUACACCAUGGAAACAAAAUCUAGAAGUCAUCGAUCACUCACUGGAAUAUUUAUAAGAUGAUUAUCAUUCUAGAAACACAAAGAGUAGAGUACUAAAACUGAUAAUUUGAAUACAAAACAUCCGAAGCAGUGCAAUAAGCCAACUGCAUACACGAUAACUUGCCCCAAGUCUCAAUUGCUUCCUGGCAGUAUUUAUUCGACCAAAAACACAAAAAGGAAUACAUCCAAGCACCAGCAAAAUGCACCGCCUAAUUCCAGUUGAACAUCCCAAGGAGUAUGAUAAAAGUAACCAACAGUGAUUAAUUUGAAUAAAACAUUGCUAGUCUCUUUACACUAUUGUUGGUUGCCCCUCCAGAAAAUCAGUUGAAGCUCUGCCGCUGAGCACAGGCACAUCCGCGAAAUAGGGAACAUAAGGGAUAAUCAGCCCACAACCAUGUCCUAGAGUGUAGAGAUCACACACUUCCUCAGUAUCCAUGUCAUAUGACAUCAGUUUCCAGCUGCAGCGGUGAACGAAGAAAACCAAAUUGCGAUCUGGGUGAAUGGUGAUCACAUCUAAGUCAUUGACUCCACAACUCAUUUCUCCAAACAGCUGUGAACAACUCACGCUUUUCUUCAGGACCCAAUGCCCUGCAUCAUAGUCCUCAAGAACCCAAAUGGAUAGUCCAGUGAUGUGGAUGGGAUGGUCUUGUUUUUUAUGUGCAGUGAUGCAAUGCAGGUGUCCUUGGGAUUGACCAAUAAAAGUAGCAUCAGUAAAUUCAUUCAAGCCUGGCCAGUGGAUCGCCAUAAGUUUCUUCCCUUGCAUGUCCGCCACAACUAUCUUAAUAUCCUGUCUCUGUGACGGUGUUAGUAUGGGCUGCGGGUAGACUGGAACAUGCAGCAUGCCAUUAACAUCAGCAUAGCCCAACUUAGAUCGCACUUCGUCAAGUUCCAUCCAUUCUCUCCAUUUUAUCCAUUCUGUAGUACUAUUUCUCCAAACCCCAGUUUCAGAUGAGAAGGCAAGCACAGUGUUGACUAACCUAGUUUCGUCAUUACUGUGCCAGAAUUGGAGCAGGUGAAAGUGCGAGGAGACAUCCGGGUUGAAAAUCAGAAGGCUGUUGACUUCAUUUGCAAAAUGUUGUUCACAAUCACAUGUUCUGGGCGGAUGUGAACUAAUGCCAGGGCUGGGCACGCACAUCCAUUGUUCAGUGGCAGGGUUGCAAAUGAUGUACUUGUAUCUGUCACAAUCAAUGAAGUUCUCAAAGAGGAGGAGUCCAUUGUGGGCGCUCAAGAGUUUGAUUUGCUUAAUCUCAGGCAGCUUUGUGAGGAAGGAGAAUGAGGCAUCGACGAGAGGCACAGAUUUCCCUGAUAGGUUGAUGAAUCGCAAAUCAUUCACGCCACCGCCAACGCUGCUGUCGAUGAAGAAACCCUCUAGGGUUUGGGGGAACUUUCGGCGGCCAAGGCGAUCGACGAUGAGGUCGCACCAGCCUUUGGAGACGCACUUGAACCGGAAAAGUGGCUUAGCGGGGAGGCAGGAGAGGAUCUUCACGACGGGGUCAUCAGGGAAGCCAUCAGCUGCAGCGGCCUUGGUCCUCUUGGGGCCAUCCAUGGUACUACGGAAGCAGUACCUGGAGGUGAGUUGAGGCUGCAAGGAGAACGGUAUGAGCAUCGAGAGAGAAAUGAAGCGUGGCAAAAUUGUCUGGGGAGCUUACCAGCCACAGGAGACAAUGGGGAUCAACAGAUCAUCAACACAAGAGCACUGCUGGUGUGUGGUGUACAGCAACCUUAAAAACUACUCUAAACGCAUUGCCAGAUUCAAUCCUAGGAUGAAUGUAAACAUAAAAACAUUCCACAGUUAGCCAUAUACCUAGCCCAGCCAAUCUGUUGCCCAUAAUGGAAAGAGCAGGACUUACCAAGGGGAGCAGCCAUCAGGGUCUGUGGUCAAACAUCCGGAUCGAGUGCCUAUUGCAUCACCCACCUACGAAUCAACAACAAACAAAUGAGUUCAAGCCAAAAACACAGAUUGUAGGAAAAAUCGCCGUGGAACCCUAACCCUACUUCGUCAUAAUAAGGCGGCGGCGGGGGGUGGGGGGUGGGAUGGGGGUGGUAAUGGCCUCACUUACCUGCCUUAUGUUCGGAGCGCCUGUGGGGACUGUAGAUCUAUGGGGUUCGAUCGAGCAGGGCUCACCGUCUUCGCUGAAGUAGAGCGUCGUUGUCUCAGUCGUCGUGGAGCUGAGCUCGGGAGAGGGGAACGGAGAAGAGGAAGGGGAGGGUGGGGGAAUGAAUGGGAACGGGGUGACUAAUGGAUCAGGGCGAGAGCAUAAUCGAGCCAGGGGCAAGAAUGUAUUUUUCCCCUACCUGAUCCAACGUGGUAGGCUGAUCUGGACUAACACGACGCAAGAAAAUAGCAAAAAUGAAGCAUCGGACACAGUGCAUGCGGCAAAUGUUUAAUUGCCAAUCUAAAGCUGGCAACUGAAGGAGUGGCAACCAAAUGCGAUAGCAGAUACUUUUCUUCCCUUGCUUGUCCACCACAGCUAUCUUGUGUGUGUGUGUGUGACCAUGGCGAGUAGACUAGAACAUGCAUCAUGCCAUUAACAUCCGCACAGCCCAACGUAGAUGGUGCUUUGCCAAAUGCUAGCGGUUCUCCCCAUUCUGUCCAUUCUCUAGUACUAUUUCUCCAGACCCAAUUUCAGAUAAGACAUGCACAUUUUGCAAUGACAUGAUACCAUAGCGCCAGUGCCAGAGCUGGAGCAGGUGAAAGUGUGAGGAGACAGCCGGGUAAAAAAAAUCAGAAAGUUCUUGACUUCACUUAAGAAUUCGUCUUCAGUGAUCUUUAUCAGUGGAUGUUUAGUAGUGCCAGGGAAGGGCACGCGCAUCCAUUGUUCAGUGGCAGGUCUGCCACGAUCGAAGGAGCACGCAAACAGGAGGAGCCCAUUGUGGGCGCUCAAGAGGUCGAUUUGCUUAAUCCCAGGCAGCUUCGUGAGGAAGGAGAAGGAGGCAUCGACGAGAGGAACAGAUUUCCCUGACAGGUUGUGAUGAAUCGUCAAUAAUUCACAAAAUCACCGUCGCUGCCACUGACAAAGAAACCCUCUGGGGUUUGGGGAAACUUCCUGCGGCCAAGGUGAUCGAUGAUGAGGUGACACCAGCCUUUGGAGACGCACUUGAACCAGAAAAGCGGCUUCGCAGGGAGGCAGUUGAGGCUGCAAGGGUAAUGGGAUGGUCGCUCGGCCAAUCGUGUUGAGAGGCCAAGUACGGUCAGGACUCUUUCUUUUUUUUAAAAAAAAUUAUUAAUAUUUAUGAUAUCAACUAAGUAUUAUUGGGUUCUUCAUUAAUUGUAUUUUCAUAAUAUAUCUAUUUGAUGUUAUAAAUCUUUGUAACUUUUUUUAUAAUUUUGGUCAAACUUGAGAUGCUUUGACUGUUCAAGAUUCUUAGAAUGACUUAUAAUUUGGGAUGGAGGGAGUAUCACUUUCUUAUAUUUUUAUAUAUUUAGAUAAAUGCAUAUUACCUCCGAGCCACUAUAGGAACAUAGCUCCAGAAACAGCUCUUUUAGACCAGUACACGUUCUGAGAAUAUGAAAUACACUGGCCCCAAAGGUGUGUCCAUUGCUGAUUACGAAGAGGUGCAAGAAUAAUAGAUGAGGGAGUACUGUAAGGUGUUCCAUCAGGUACUGAAAAACAAAUAUGUCCUGCUGAGUCACAAGAAGACAGCAAAAAAAGAAAGAUCAUAUUAUUAAGUGGCUCAGAAGGGGAAAACAUUCAUUUUCUAAAGAACUGAUUACCACACGACAAAGGUAGUUAUAGCCUAAUGGAUUUUUGCUAUGUACUUCUGAUGCAAAACUGGGCCAAUGUGAAUCUAGAUUAAACAUGAUAAUUUUCUAUUUUAACAUGCUUCAGUUCUGAAGUCUUUCCCCAACUACAAAGCCUGACAACAGAUAUAUAAUGAAUAGAUACCAUACAAGAACAAAUGAAGGUUAUUAAAAUUUUCACAACUGUUCAUAUCUCCUUCCUAACCACUAACCAGACUAAGAUUGAUGCCCCUGUGACUAACCAAUAAACUACAGCAGCAUAUAUAUCAAGAUUUCUUUGAGCUUCCUCACCCAAGCAAAGUGUAGAUUUUGCAAGGAUAUUCUCGGAUGCCACCAUUAUCAGAGCAUCCUGUCCAGCCCCAUAUGUUGAAUUGGACUAACCGCCAAAGUCAUGUUCCUUACUUAGGACUCACAUCUAGACAUAUUAGAAACAAGAUUGUCAAAAUCUCAAUUCUAUCAGAUGACUUAACGAUUCCCUAUGGAUAAAGGAGCUUGAUUCAUGAUUCUACUAAAUAGAAUAUAUCUUUUUAGCAUUUUCAUAUUUAAGUUUAUGAUUGUGAUCCAAUUUAAUGACCUCUGGUCCGAUUUAGGAUCACAAUUUUGACAACCUCAUUCUUCUAUAAUAUCACAUAAUUGAUUAAGGAAGAGAUGUAAGGUCAGAAAGAUAAUCUCUGGCAAACUUGCAGUGCAAAGAUAGCUGAAAUUCAGCAUAUUGGUACAGAUGAAUCAAUAAGAUUGCUACCAUAAAGCUAAAUUACCUCUCAUAUACACAUUAGAUCAAUGCUGUUUUUUUCUCUAGCUGAAUUUUCAAGGUUUUGCCAUCUCUGAUAUUAUAGUUGGCUUAAAUUAUUUUUGUCACUCUUUAUUCAACUGAUAUGCAUUCAGGAAGAUUAUUCAUUCUUGCAUGUAUUUCUAUUGGAACACAGAUAAAUCAAACUGAAUGAUGCAAGCCUGCCUGAUAUAAAAAACUGAAAGUCUAAAACUAUGAAACAAACUGUCUGCAGCUAGAUCAAACCGAACGAUAAAAACCUGCUACAUCAAACUAAAUGACCAAACUGAGAUUGUCUGAUGGACAAACUGAAGAUUUGUUUCAUGGCCAAAGUGAACGCAUUCCACAGCCUAAAACUUAAAGAUGAAUGCCUGAAACUAUGAAUGACUGAACUUCAACAGAUUUAUGUAUAAACCAGUUCAUGCAGAUGACCUGAUUUUUGUUCACUGAAUGCCCAGGCUGACUGGUUGGCGAUCAUCUGAAUCGGCCAUCAUCACCGUGCCUGUCGGUCACCUAUUGCCAGAUGAUUUACAGGAGAAGUGAGUUGAGACAGAGCCUGCACAGACAAUUGAACUAAAAUGAUGAACGGUGAUGGCUUGUUGGGUGCCGACAACGACUGAUUAAACUGACCAGCAGUGAUCCAGCAAAACAAAACUCACCAUGACGAAUGGUGAUGGGCUAAUUCCGGCAGUCCAUGGUCUUGACGAAGCACAGUGAGGACAGGGCAGAACACCAUGGGCCGCCUGGGGCAGCGAAUAGACUCACGGUGAGCAUCAUCGGCUGAAAGAGGAAGCCGCGGUGAGUUGGAGCUGAAGGAGCACCACCGGAUCAUUGUAUGCCACUGUCUUUGCCAGCCAAAUCGACAGUGGCUGCGAUGCCCUUGAGCUCCUCGGCCGCCAAAUUCAGCCAGGACUAAAAUUUACAAAGACAAGAAAACCCACCAGAUAAAUACUACUGGAAGUUAAAAUAAAAAUAUAAAUACUACUGGGUAGAUAAGAUACCAUAGCUUAACUUCUCCAGACUGAUGACACUUCCAAAACAUCUUCAUGUACAAUUAAGCACAACAUAACACGUCCUAAUAACACUUGACUCUGUUAAAAACAAGGAACCAUAAAAUCAGAAGCAAAUUAAAGUGCUUUAAAUUUACCAAUCGCAUGCGUGGCAACUGAAUGAAAUGUCAAACCACACUACCACAGGCUAAUUGGAAGCGGGGACUGGAUAACCAAGCAUGCACAGCAGCAUCAUGGAGAGGGUGUAAUUUUGCUUGUUAGCCUUUUUGGCAGUGGCUUGCCAUCCUUGAGUUAUCGGUAACUAUUCCUUGUGUUCAUCUUUACUUGCUCGCUGACGUUGAUAUGCUUUCACCGAGUUACUUUGAUUAGUUUUGGGAACCUAGAAUAAGAUCACUUUUACUGAAAUAACUAAUGUUGUAAACUUCAUUGUAGACUUGCUUUCCCAAAUGUAUGAACUUACUCAUGCUGGUGCAACAACCUCUCAAGCUUUGAGCAAAAGUACCACAUUGAAACAGUACAAGAAGUAGACACUUUAGUCUAAACGUGUCUUAAAAUCAGAUGACUUCAUCAUAAGACUAAGGACCAGAUCUUCUUGAACUCCUCAAGAGUAGAAAAACAAAAACGGAGUUUCUUCAGCAAAUUAUAAAGCUAUUGCUCUAAAAACAAAUAAAGCCAAAGGAUGCCGAAAUAAUGAUAGGUCUUAUUGCAAGGACUCCCCUCAUUCAUACUUAACAAAAGUUCAGACUUGCAGCAUUACAAUACUAAAAUUUACAAUGAUAAGAUCUAUCAUAUACAUACUACAGGGUAGAUAAGAAACCAUAGCUUAGCUUCUCCGGAAUGAUAACACUUCCAAAUCACCUCAGCGCUGAUAGCAGUUGGUCAUGUAUCUAGUAUAGCAGGGCCUAAGUAUUGCCCAUUGCAGUUUUGUUUUCUUUUCUGUUUCAGUUGUGUGGCUGUAAUAGGCUUGCUUGGGGGUCAAGAAGAUAAGACCCUUGGCAGCCAAGUUAACUAGGAAUCUACUCUAGAAUAUGCCUAUCCAAGAGGUAGCCCUCAGCCUAUAAGAGCUGGAGAUUGGGCAAGGGUUUUGUAACCGAGAUCCACUUUUGCAAUUCAAUCAAAAGGCCAUAGCAGGCAAACUGCCCUCUGGCUGUUGCCAGAUCAAUCUCGUGUUCACCUAGUUUAUCCAACAAUUGGUAUCAGAGCGAGUCCUUGAUCCUGAGAGAUGGCCACCUCCGCAGAGAGAGCAGCUGCCACCGCAGCAGCCGCCGGGCAGCGUGCGCAGCGUCUGGCAGCGGCAGAGGCCGCAGCCGCGCAAGCGCAGCAAGCCGCGGAGGCCGCAGCAGCCGCAGCCAGGGAGGCCGCUACCACGGCCGCCGCCCUGCGUCGAGAGCUCUGGGAUGAGCAGCCACUUGAGGAGGAGGAGCCGCACCAGGAUCUGCGCGAGGAGCCGCGCGAUCGCCGCCGUCCGCCUCGGAGGAGCCCGGACCGGAUGCGCAGGCAGUCGCGGUCGCCGGAUCAGGAUCGCCGUCGCGGACGUGGCGGCAGGGGCCGCUCGCCGGUGAUCCAGGCCGUGUACAAGGACUCCGGCGGCUCCACCACUUGGCCGAUGCUGUCCAAGACCAACUACCACGAGUGGGCGUCGAUCAUGAAGCUGAAGCUUCAAGCUCGCCAACUUUGGGACGCGAUCGAGUACGGCGAUCUUCCCCACCAUGAGGACCGUCGCACCGUCGAAGCGCUCAUCGCCGCCGUUCCUCAAGAGAUGCAGAUGCCGCUGUCGGAGAAGGCGACGGCGAAGGAGGCGUGGGACUCCCUCGCCACUGCACGCAUCGGAGGAGAACGAGCUCGGCGCACCGCUCUACAACGUCUACGCCGCGAGUGGGAGUUGUUGUCUUUCCGCCCAGGUGAGCAGGCUGAGGAUUUUACUCUGCGCCUGGUUGCUUUGAAGCAGCAGCUCGCCCUCCAUGGCGACACGGACAUCAACGAGGAGCGUGCGGUGGAGAAGCUCCUGCGCGCUGCACCGGCCAAGUACGCGCAGCUCUGCAUCGCCAUCGAGACCCUCCUCGACUUCUAGGACCUCACCAUCGAGGAGGUGUCGGGUCGACUGAAGGCGGUGGACGAUCUGCAGGAGGUCCCCGGAGAGCCCCUCAUCAUCGCCGGCAAGCUGAUGCUCUCGAAAGAGCAGUGGCAUGCAUGGCAGAAGGAGAGAAAGAAGGGCGUCCAGGACUCUGCUUCCGCCAGCGGCAAGGAGCCGCGGCGUCGCCCCCGUGGCGGGAAGAAGCAGAGGGCCAAGAACGAGCGCCGCGAAGACGACGGCGAGCGCAAGGCCAACCGCGACGACAUCUGCCUGAACUGCAAGCGGCCUGGUCACUGGGCACGCGACUGCCGUGAUCCUCCGCGACAAGGCGGUGGCGGUGGAAGAGAUUGCGGCGGCCAGCAGCAGGGAGGCGGCGGCGGUGGUGCGCGGGGCGCAGCACAUGUCGCAGAGGCGGAUUCGGAUGAUGGCGCGCUCUUCUUCGUCCACGGCGUCGUGCAACUGGAGGAAAAGGCGCCUGAAGUCCUCUGCACCAAGGCCGCCGCGUUCCUGGACUUCGCCGAGCCGCGCGCACGUGCCUUCCUCGGUGACGCCAGCGACGAGGACAAGCUCGACGGCUGGUACCUCGACAGCGGCGCCACCCACCACAUGUCUGGGCGUUGUGAGAUCUUCUCCGAGCUCGACACGACCAUCCGCGGCACGGUGAAGUUCGGUGAUGCAUCGUGCGUGGAGAUCCAGGGCGUGGGCUCGGUCGUGUUCCAGGCGAAGAACGGCGAGCACCGCGUCCUCCACGGUGUCUACUUCAUUCCGGCGCUGCGCAACUCCAUCAUGUCCCUGGGUCAGCUCGAUGAAGCGGGCUCGAAGGUGGAGAUCGAGCACGGUGUCCUACGAAUCUGGGAUCAGCGCAAGUGCCUCCUCGCCAAGGUAAAGCGCGGCAGCAACCGUCUCUACAUUCUUCACCUCGACGCCGUGCAGCCUGUAUGCCUCGCCGCGCGGAAGGACGACGAUGCCUGGCGCUGGCACAAGAGGCUUGGACAUCUGCACUUCGACGCGAUCCAUCGGCUCGCGAAGGAGGAGAUGGCCCGAGGCAUUCCGGUGAUCGAGCACGCGGCGCAAGUCUGCGACACCUGCGUCACCACCAAGAUGCGCUGCCGGUCGUUCCCGCAGAAGGCCACGUACCGCGCCGAGCAGCCGUUGGAGCUCGUCCACGGUGACUUGUGCGGGCCCAUCACGCCGGCGACUCCAGGAGGCCGACGCUACUUCCUCCUCAUGGUGGACGACGCCACGCGCUUCAUGUUCGUGGCGCUGCUCGCAACCAAGGACGAGGCGGCGCAGGCGGUGAAGAAGAUCAAGGCUCAGGCUGAGAAGGAGACCGGCCGCGAACUGAAGGUGCUACGGACCGACAAUGGUGGAGAGUUCACCUGCUCCGAGCUCGCCGAGUACUUCGCCAUGGAGGGAGUCAAGCGCCACUUCUCCGCGCCGCACUCGCCACAGCAGAAUGGCGUUGUGGAACGGCGGAACCAAACGGUGGUGGCCACCGCGCGGGCUCUGCUCAAGCAGCGCGGCAUGCCGGCUCGUUUUUUGGGGGGGAGGCAGUGGUGACCGCAGUUCAUCUGCUAAACCGCUCGCCCACCAAGUCAUUGCAGGGCAUGACACCCUACGAGGCCUGGCACGGGCGCACGCCGUCCGUGGCGCACCUGCGCGUCUUCGGCUGCGUCGCCUACACACGUGACUUGGGGCAGCUGCGCAAGCUCGACGACCGCGGCGUCCCCGGCAUCUUCAUCGGCUACGCUGAGGGCGCCAAGGCCUACCGAGUGUUCGCCCCGGCGUCUGGGCGCGUCAAGACCUCCCGCGACGUCAUCUUCGACGAAGGACUUGGGUGGAACUGGACGACGCCGGCGGCCGGAUCCUCUGCAGCGACAUCAAGUGACUUCGACAUCGAGUGGCCGGCCGAAGCAGAGGAGAUAUCCGCGUCAGUGCCAACCUCCCCGAGCCCACCUCGCGCGCUGUCCUCUGCUCCGGGGGAGCACGAGAGGGACGACGCGGACGAGCCGAAGACUCCUGCCGCUGGCUCUACUACACCAGCUGCGGCAGUUGAGGUCGGCGAACCGGUGGAGUUUGCUUCGCCGCUGGAGGGAGAUGAAGACCGGGUUGAUGCCUGGCACGAUGAUUUGCCCCUGCGCUAUCGCACGGUGGCCAACAUCAUCGGCAACGCUUCUACGCCGCCACCGCCGCUGCGCCUCUUCGCUGAAGUCCAUCUGACUCAUGCGGGAGAACCGGCGAACUUCGACCAGGCCAAGGACGAUCCUGCCUGGCGCGCGGCUAUGGAGCAGGAGCUCAAGUCUGUGGAGCAGAACCACACCUGGGAGCUAGCUACGCUCCCGGCUGGCCACCGGCCCAUUACCCUCAAAUGGGUGUACAAGCUCAAGAAGGAUGAGCGGGGCACGGUGAUCAAGCACAAGGCGCGUCUGGUGGCGCGCGGGUUCGUCCAGCAAGAGGGGAUUGACUACGAUGACUCCUUCACACCAGUGGCGCGCAUGGAAUCUGUCAGGGUUCUCCUCGCGCUGGCAGCUCAGGAAGGAUGGUCUGUCCACCACAUGGACGUGAAGUCCGCCUUCCUCAACGGCGAUCUCAAGGAAGAAGUCUACGUGCGGCAGCCGUCGGGCUUCGCCGUCGCUGGGGAAGAAGACAAGGUCUAUCGCCUACACAAGGCUCUGUACGGUCUGCGCCAGGCGCCUCGAGCCUGGAACGAGAAGCUGGACUCAACACUCAAGGAGAUGGGGUUUCAGCAGAGUUCUCACGAGGCUGCCAUGUACAGGCGGAGCAGUGGGCGGGCAAUUCUGCUCGUUGGCGUCUACGUCGACGAUCUGAUCAUCACCGGCACCGAUGAGAAGGAAGUGGCGGCGUUCAAGGCUCAGAUGAUGAAGACAUUUGAGAUGAGCGACCUCGGGCUGCUGAGCUUCUAUCUUGGUGUCGAGGUCCGCCUUCUGGGAUCUAUCUCCGGCAGACACACUACGCCGAGAGGAUUCUGGAGCUUGUAGGCAUGGAGGGCUGCAACCCUGCAGCAACUCCCAUGGAAGAAAGGUUGAAGCUCAGUCGCUUCAGUACUGCUGAGGCAGUGGAUCCUACCCACUACCGGCGGUUGGUUGGCAGUCUGCGCUAUCUGGUUCACACCAGGCCGGACAUUGCCUUCGCUGUCAGCUUUGUCAGCAGAUUCAUGGAGAAGCCCACCAUGGAGCACCUCGCAGCUGUGAAGCGCAUUCUGAGGUACCUCGCCGGGACGCUGGACUAUGGGCUGCACUUCACCAGAGCCCCUGGCAGUGCACGGUUCAUUGGCUAUUGUGACAGUGACCUUGGUGGUGACAUUGAUACAAGCAAGAGUACCACUGGUGUCCUCUUCUUUCUUGGUCAGUGUCUGGUGUCUUGGUAGUCUAUCAAGCAUAGAGUAGUGGCACUCUCCAGUUGUGAAGCAGAGUAUGUGGUUGCUACUACUGCUGCUACACAGGCUAUGUGGCUGUCAAGAUUGCUGGCUGAGUUACUUGGAAGAUCUGUGGAUAUUGUUGAGCUAAAGGUUGACAGCAAGUCUGCACUGGCCUUAGCAAAGAACCCUGUCUUCCAUGAGCGCAGCAAACACAUCAGAAUCAAGUAUCAUUUCAUUCGAAGCUGCUUGGAGGAUGGCAGCAUCAAGGCAGAGCAUAUCUCAACAGGUGAUCAGCUGGCUGACAUUCUUACCAAGGCAUUGGGCAAGACCAAGUUUGAAGAGCUCAGGGGAAGGAUCGGCCUGGAGGCAAUCUCAGCAAAGGAGAUCAAGACCAAGGGGGAGAACUGAUAGCAGUUGGUCAUGUAUCUAGUAUAGCAGGGCCUAAGUAUUGCCCAUUGCAGUUUUGUUUUCUUUUCGGUUUCAGUUGUGUGGCUGUAAUAGGCUUGCUUGGGGGUCAAGAAGAUAAGACCCUUGGCAGCCAAGUUAACUAGGAAUCUACUCUAGAAUAUGCCUAUCCAAGAGGUAGCCCUCAGCCUAUAAGAGCUGGAGAUUGGGCAAGGGUUUUGUAACCGAGAUCCACUUUUGCAAUUCAAUCAAAAGGCCAUAGCAGGCAAACUGCCCUCUGGCUGUUGCCAGAUCAAUCUCGUGUUCACCUAGUUUAUCCAACAAGCGCAACAUAACACGUCCUACUUAAGAUUAAGAACCUGUUUUCCUCCUUUGGUCAUCUUCAGGUUGAGUUCCAUCUUAAUGCCAGUCCUUCCAAUCUGAAAUAACACUCAGGAAAUUAUAUUUUCCGUGACAGUGUCAGUCUUAGCUGCCUUGCUCAACAUUUCUCUGAAAAGAGUCAAUACAUCUUCUAUCCUACCGUCUUCACAGCAGCUAUCAAUCAAAGUGUUACAGGUAGCAACAUCGGGUUUCAAGCCCAUAGAAAGCAUGUCAUCAAGUAAAGUAUUAAAAGUAACAGCAUUGGGUUUCAAGCCAACUGAGAGCAUAUCAUCAAGGAGCUUCAGCACUUCAUCCAGUUUACCAGCCAAGAAAUAUCCAUGAAUGAUUGCAUUGUAGGAAACCACAUUAGGUUUUACACUAGCAAUUGGCAUCAAAUCAAAGAGUGUUUUGGCCUCGGUAACCUUUCCUUCUUUGAAUAGCUUGUCUAUCAUUGUAGUGAAGACAACGACAGUAGGACGAAUGCCUCUAUCCAUCAUCUCAUAAAAUAGUUCCUCAGCCUUCUCCCAUUUGCCGUACAUAGAAAAACCAUGUAUUAGAUUAGUAAAUACUACAAUAUCUGGAGACAAUCCAUCAUCAAUCAUCUGACAGAAUUGGGACAUUGCAGCGUCCAGCCGGCCUAUCUUGCAAAGCCCAUCUAUCAUCGUCCCAUAGCUGAUUAUGUCUGGCAUCAAUCCUUGCUGCCGCAUUUUGUUAAAAGUAAGCAUUGCCUCAUCUAACCUUCCACAUUUGACGUAUGCAUAAAUCUGUAUGUUGAAGAUAUGAUGAUCAGGUCGCACUCCGUUCUGUACCAUCAAAUCUAUGAGAUUAUUCAUUUCAACAAGAUCUCCUUUGGUAGCGUACCCAUGAAGCAGACCUCCGUAGGUGGCAACAUUGGGGUUUCCACGGCUCUGAAUCAUAGAAUUCAAAAUUUCUCUAGCUUCUGUGUGCCCUCCAAAUUUGCAAAGACAGUCUAUCAGCAUGCUGUAAGUAACACCAUUUGGUGGUUGCCCAUGUCUUGACAUUUGUUUGAGAAUUCUGACCGCCUCUUUCAGUUGUCCCGAAGAGAGGUAUCCAUGGACCAGACUGUUAUAUGUAGUGCAGUCAGGCAUAAUAUGUUUGUCAAACAUCUGUCGAAGGACCUCCUCAGCCUUGUCCAUUGCUUGAACCUUGCAUAGGCCAUCAAUGAUUGAGUUGCAAGUCACAACAUCCGGCGGGAUCCCACGAUCAAGCAUUUCACAAAACAGGGUGUAAGCUUUCCCCACCUCAUCCUCUUUAAAGAAGCCAUGGAUUACGGUGGUAUAAGACACCACAUUAGGUGGGCAGUGAUCUCCAUCCUCAGCCAUCAUGUGGAUCAGGUCAACAGCCUCUUCACAUUUCUUCUCGUCACAUAGCCCUUUGAGAAGUACGGUGUAGGAGAAGACAUCCGGGGUGCAGCCAAGCUUAGGCGUCCAUCUGAUCACAAUAUUCAUUGCAUCACUCGUCCUCUUCUCAGCACAGAGGGUCCUAAGUAUAGGCGUGAAACUGAUGGCAUUUGCCCUCAGUCCCGUCUUAAUGAUUUGGCCCAAUGCGGCAAAGGCGAGGUUCAAGCAGCCUACAUAGCAGCAGCAGCUGAUGAGGAUGGUGUAGGUAACUGUGGUCGGAGCAACCUUCUUGGAGCCCGCUCGGGCCAUGCGGUUGAACAUGGACACGGCGAGGGCAGGGCCGUUGGGCACGGCGGAGGAGACUGGGGCGCGAGCGACAGUGGUGAGGAGCCGGGUGAGGGCAUAAACGGAGCCUUGCCUCGCUUGGGGAAGCAGCUCGUCGAACAGAUCGAGUGCGUCCUCGGGGUCAAGGUCUCCCGAGCGGAAACACUCUCCGAUGAAGCGCUCCAGCUCGCAGGACGGGCGGUUUUCGUACCUCCGACCCCGCUGCCGAACCGGCCGGCUGUGGGGAACGCAUUUGGAUCGACGGGAGCACCUUGUCGCAGAGUUGGCGCGCGGCCUAAGCGCUGAGGCUUCCCGAGCGGAGGCGCCGCCCGAUGAUCCGCUUCAACUUCUUCAGCCAAGACGGGCGCGGCCGGUUCGACAUGGUCGGCGCCGGCGGUGGGAUCCACACGUCUCGCGCCUCCGAUUCGGUGGCAAAUGCAGAUCGCGCUGGGAUGGUCCGCACUCCGCACAGCGCGGCGGCGGCGUACGCUUUCUGUGGAGUGGUGGGGGGGAACGAAUAGAAGCCGAGUGUUGGGGGGCUGACCACGUGCUUGAGUGGGGCCUGGGAACGAAUGGAAGCUGCCUACACGUAUGCAUCGUGUACAAUGACGAAUCUAGAAAAAUAUUUAGGGAAAGCUUCUGCUACUUAAGAUAACUUCAGUCCCUUCUUAAAGAGCAUCAAUGAUAAAAAUUUGUAGGAGGGGCUAAGGAGGGGCUACGUGGGUUCUACGGCCGUAGGGGGGCUGGAGCCCCACCAGCCCCACCGUUGGCUCCGUCGCUGAUCGUGUAUUUGUAUUUGUAUUUGUAUACACACACGAGGUGAUAUGCACUACUAACCUGCCUUGAAGAGUUCUGGUGUAGAACAUGUUCCGUAGAGGCUUCCAAGUCGUCUAACGCUUAUAAUAGUUUUCUUGGAUGCAAGGAAAAAAAAGAAUUCAAUAUCAUCAACGAAACAUCGCAUUUUGAUUUUUUUUGGUUUCAAGUGAUCGUGAGAAGAUUCUCAGUAUUAUGGCCUUGUUCAUUUCGCGAAAUUUUUUUGGCUUUAGCUACUGUAGUACUUUCGUUUAUAUGUGACAAUUAUUGUCCAAUUACGGAGUAACUAGGCUCAAAAGAUUCGCCUCACAAAUUACACUGUGCAAUUAUUUUUUAUUUUCGUUUAUAUUUAAUGCUUCAUGCAUGCGUACAAAGAUUCGAUGUGAUAGAGAAUCUUAAAAAUUUUUGGAAACUAAACAAGGCCAUCUCUCUAUUUCUCAUGUGCACGCAUAGAAAUGCUAAUUUACAGUCUGCUCGUCGGCACCGUCCCCCCUCCCAACCCACCGUUAUUGCUGCCGUCAAAGAAGGGACUGGUCGCGUCCCACCAUGCACCCACAUGCCUACGCCUUGUGCCCGUGUCGACAAAGAAGACGGCGUUGGCUAGGUUUUUGGCAACCCGUGCCACUUCCUUCUUUUCCACAACUUCGGUGGGCUUAGAAGAGAAGGCCUGGUUUGGAGGGAUGAAGACUGACUAGACGGUGGGGAUAGCAUCGACAAAUAAGACGGCGACGACUAGGGUUUCAAUGGCACGUGUCACCCCCUUUUUCCAUCAACUCCGGCAGGCUUAGAAGAAAAAGGGUUUGGAGAAACGAAGGUCGACUAGGCGGUAGGGACGACAUUGGAGGCGGGCAGGCUAGGUCAGGGGGGCAAGCUCCUCGAUGGCGCGCCUCUGCCAGCUAAUCCAGCUGCACCAUGAUAAUCCAUAGCCUCCACUCUUUCACCCUGGGCCAUCCUUGAGCAACCCCAUGGCGUCACCGCCAUGGUUGGCCACCCACCACCCAUGGUCCUCCACCUGCCCAACCACAAGGGCGAAAUGGAACACUCUCGACCCAAAAAAAAGCUCCCUCAUGGUUUAGACAUGGUCGAAACCCCACUACGUACCACGAGCCGCUCUGAACCUCACCGUCGUCGUGAUGUAAAGCUGGAGUGGAGCCAUCACCCAAUGUCCGCCGACUAGGUUGACAUGAGGCGAUGCAAUCGCUGGAUCCAAAGGUAGGCCAUGGUCACUCGGCGGGAGAUGGCGUGGUUGCUCGAUGAAGAAGCAGAGUGCGGGGUGGAAGCGGAGUGUGACAUUGGGGCAGGGACCAUGGUACCGUUGGACAGCGUCUAGGCGGGGGCCUCGCUUCUUCCAGGUCAAAGCUUUUGGCGAUGGAGCGUAGAGUAGUCCAGGUGAUUAAGGGAUAAGGAUUGAGCAUGGAGGAGCUCGGAUGAAAGAUAAGAAGAAAAUAGAGAAGAAAACAAACGAAAAAGAAAAUAAAAAAUGAUAAGACAGAGAGCAUAUAAAGAAAAGAGAAAGAAGAAAAAAAUGACAGUAUAGACAUUUCACUCUUUUCAACAGCAGGUCAAGCUAUUUUACCAAAGUCUUUUCAAAACAGCUUCACCUCUCUCUCUCUCUCAAUUUGUACAGAGGCGUCAUGUUUCAAUGUUAUGGCUGUCUCGUAACCGCAUUUGUUAUUGUUUACUAGUUCAUAUAAUUUUGUAACUUCCACAUUUCGGUUGACUUUUACAUAUCACAAAAUACAUAAUGUUUCAUGAAAUGACAAAAUGGACAUACUGUAACUAUAAAUUCAUGUAAUAACACGUAGGGUAUCAUCAAGUUAUUAUUAAUUAGCUGCGCACCGAAACCUUAAUAUUUGUCGAGCAUGGCCAAAUCCAAAUGCAUCAUUCUUUUUCCCUCGGGG
RNAcentral lists this long non-coding RNA (65120 nucleotides) under Sorghum bicolor (sorghum). RNAcentral describes it as "long non-coding RNA (SBIC_LNC001992)". The record is from RNAcentral. Lineage: Eukaryota; Viridiplantae; Streptophyta; Magnoliopsida; Poales; Poaceae.